UGUGGACAUGGAUAUCACGGCGACUGCAUAGUCCCAUGGUUGUGGUCACGAAAUACUUGUCCCGUGUGUAGGUUUGAGUUGCCAACUGAUGAUCCCGAUUACGAGGAGGAGAGGAAGAAAAGAGUUGUCGUGGCAAGCCUUAGAGCACCUUCCUCGAGUUCUUCCGGUGGUGCAGGUAGCUAUAAUUCUGGCUUCGAUUGAUUUACUGUGGUAUGCUAAAACCUUCUUCACUUUGUUUCCUAUUCUCAUGUUUAGGAGUUUUUCCUGUUUCUGUUCUUCUCUCUCUCUCUCUCUCUCUCACUAUUUAAAUUGGAACUCUGUUCGUGUAUUAGCUUAUUGUGAAUUGGGCAGAUGCCGCAGAUGAAUUGUAUUUUGACUUCUUUUCUGUAAAUAAUGAACUCACUUUUUGGGAAAUUGAUAAUAUCGGCCUGUGGACAUUUGAAAAGCCAAAAGCUGUUUUCGAGACUAAGAAGUGGUUUGGGGUGAACGAGAAUCGGAGUGAAGAUGAAGAAGAGGAGACGCGGAGAAGGCGGCGUGAUGUUCUACGGCUUCGGCUAAGGGACUUUGCUGCUCGAGCUGCGAGCAGGCGCAACAGGAUUCUUGAUUGGGCCGAGAUUUUAAUGGGGCUGGAGGACCACUCAAUCGAGUUGCGAUUACAGGUUCCAGAAUCUGAUACUUUUUUUGGAAACCCGGGUGAUUAUGUAGAUGCUGCAGGAUACGAAGCAUUGCUGCAUAAUUUAGCUGAAAGUGACAGUGGAGGAAGGCCAGGGGCACCACCAGCUUCAAAGGCAACAGUUGAAGGGUUAGAAAACUUGUUGAUUAAGAAGGAAGAGGAGACAUUGGUGUGUGCUAUAUGUAAAGAUUCAGUGAAUGUGGGUGAAAUGGCGAGGAAAUUACCGUGUGGACAUGGAUAUCACGGCGACUGCAUAGUCCCAUGGUUGUGGUCACGAAAUACUUGUCCCGUGUGUAGGUUUGAGAUGCCAACUGAUGAUCCAGAUUACGAGGAGGAGAGGAAGAAAAGAGUUGUCGUGGGAAGCCUUAGAGCACCUUCCUCGAGUUCUUCCGGUGGUGCAGGUAGUUAUAAUUCUGGCUUCGAUUGAUUUGCUGUGGUAUGCUAAAACCUUCUUCACUUUGUUUCCUAUUCUCAUGUUUAGGAGUUUUUCCUGUUUCUGUUCUUCUCUCUCUCUCUCUCUCUCUCACUAUUUAAAUUGGAACUCUGUUCGUGUAUUAGCUUAUUGUGAAUUGGGCAGAUGCCGCAGAUGAAUUGUAAUUUGGCUUCUUUUCUGUAAAUAAUAAACUUACUUUUUGGGAAAUUGAUAAUAUCGGCCUGUGGGCAUUUGAAAAGCCAAAAGCUGUUUUCGAGACUAAGAAGUGGUUUGGAUAAUUUUCUAAGAGUGCAUUGUCACUAGAAGAGCUUUUAGAGGAAGAAGGGCCAGUGUAGCUUUCUCACGAGGAAGCAACAGAAGCUGAAGCCUUGCUAACGGACCCUAUAAGUUCUAUACAACAUAAUUCUCUGCAUAUUAUCCAAUUUUUGCCAUUUUUAUUGUUCUUUUCUUGCGGGUUUCUCUUGCAUUUGUAGGAUUUGAUAUUUUUCACCACUCAGUGGAAGGUAUUAUCAUUUUGUUGGGCACUGCGACACUGAUUGAAUACCAAAAUUGAACAGAUAGGAUAUGCAUAAUUGUUGCAUAAGUUUAGAUGAAUGGUUAUCUUCAGGAAUACAUGAAUGUUAAAUUCUUGAUGAUAUGGUUUAGAUGACAGAGCGAUAGUUUAUUUUAUAACAUUUAUCUUAUGUUAAUUGGGAGAUUAUGCGUUGAGCUACUUGUGUGACUGAAUGAACAACCAAUCUGAGAUGACAAUUUCAGCAGAAAUGGAUUGGAUAUGUUAUUGAUGACACUUGGAAUCAGCAGAUAAAUAGUUCAAAGAUAUUAUUAUGGUGUGUCUUAGUAAUAGAGACAAUUUAGAGGGAAAACAAAGCGAAAGGGCUCAUAAAUUGUCAAGCCCCUUGUAGAACGGGAAAUACAUGGAAAUGACCUAUACAAAGAGGUCAUUUUUCCAAAAUGACAUUUGACCAAUUCAUCUACCUAAAAUAUCCCUCCUUUUGAAUAUUACAUAACAAAUUAUGAUAUAGAAAUCUUCCAUUUUAAUCCCUAAAAUUAAUUAUUACUUAAAUUUUGAUAGAUUUUUAUUUAUUUGGUUUAUUUGAUUUUUGUUCACUCAAAGUAGCACCUCCCUAAUUGGUAUCAGAGUCAUAGAGAUCAUGGAAAUUAAAUUAAGAAAAAUAAAUAAUUAUUGGCAUUUAGAAGAAGAAAGAGGAAGUUAUAUAUUUUUAAAAUCUAUUCAUAAUAAAUUAAAAAUAAUGAUAUUAAUAAUAAUUAAAGAACUACCUAGAGAAAUAAAAUAACAAAUAUUAGAAAAAUUAAUAAUAGAAAUAAUAAAGGAUAUAUAUAUAUAUAUGACAAAAUUUUUAAUAUAUAUGAAGAUGAAGAAAUCAAUUUAUAUUAUAAAGAGAAGUAUGAGUUCAAAUAAUAAUACAUAAUUGAAAUUAAAUAGAUUAUUUAUAAAAAUAAAAAAAUACAAGAAGAAAUCCGAGAUAUAAUGUUAAUACUAGAAGGAAUAAGAGUAUCAAAUAAAAUACAAUUAAUAAAAUUAAAAUGUGAAAGAUUAAGACUUGAGAGUAAAUAUUUUAAUACAAUAAAAGAAGAAUUAGUAAAUACAGAUAACUAUACUAAUAGAAGAUUUGGAAUAAUAAUAAUAAAUAAAAAAGAUGAUAAAAAAUGCAAAUUAACUUAUAUGUUAGAAAGAUGAUCUUAAUAUGCUAAUAAGUGAAUAUAUAAAAGAAUUAAAGUCAUUAAUAAAAAUAUUAAUAAAUGAUAUACAAGAUUUAAGAAAUGAAGUAAGAGAAACAAGAAAUGAUAUAAAUAUAUUAAAAAUUGAAAUUAGAUAAAUAAAAGAAAAUAAUAAAAAUAAAGAAAAGAAAAUAGAUAAAAAAUUAAUAGAAAAAGAAAUGACUUGAAUAUGAAAUAAAUAUAUUGAAAAAGAGAGUGUAGUAAUAGAAACAGGAAGUAUGGAUGAUGAAUUUAGGAAAAAUAUAUUACCAAAAAUAUUAGAAAAAGAAGAAUCUAGAGAAAAAAUAGUAGGAAAAUUAAAAGUAGAAGAUAAAGAUGAAUGAGGAAUGAGAUUUACUAAUAGAAAAUUUUGAUCAAUUAAGUUUAACUGAUAUAAAUGAAUACCAAGUUUUAAUUAAUACUAGAAGAGGACCUAAUCCAAUAGAAACCACUAAACAAGAAUUACAAGAUUCAAACGAAAGCUAUGCACCCAUAUAUAAUAAACAAUGCUUACAAUUUUAUGAUAAAGUAAGAGAUAGAUAAUCACCUAAAGGAAGUAAAUAUAAAGAUAGUUUGAAUUAAAUGAUAAUUAUGAUAAACCAAUUAAUCAUGGAAGAACAAAAUUAGAUUUAAAUUGCAAAAUAGAUACUAGAAAAGCUUUAUUAAUUUGGGCAGAGUCAAUGAUAUUAUUCUUUUUAUAUAAUAAAAAUGACACAUGGAAAAAUAUUGAAAGAAGAAUAUAUUUCUUAACAUCAUCCUUUGAAGGAUUUGUUAGAAAUUGGUGGGAAAGAAUAGGGGUGGCAAAUAGGUCGAGCGGCUCGUCGGCUCGCCCGCUCGGCUCGCAAAAACAGAGCUAGUGAGUGGCUCGGCCUCGUAAAAACACAACCUCGAGGGUUCGGCUCGCAAAAUAAACGAGCCGCUCGUUUAAAAAGUGACCGAAACAAUCACUUUUUCAGUGACCGUUUCGGUCCCUGAAAUUUAUUUAUUUAUUUAUUUUUAAUUUGUGACAGUUAACGGUCGGUCCUUUAAUUUUUAAAAUUUUUUUUCUUUCCUCUUCUUCUUCUUCUAUAAAUAGUGGCAUUUAGCCAUAAAAUUUUCUACAAUUCACUCUCAACUCUCAAUUAUCUUUCUCUCAACUCUCAAUUAUAGUGUUAAUAGUUGUGCAAUUUUUAUAUACAAUUUAUACAAUAUUCAAUUUUUAUUUCUCAGUUUUCACUAUAUUUAUUGAAAUUUCAUCCAAUUUUCAUUUCUCACUACAUUUAUACAAUUAUUCUUUUACUAGUUAUUACUUAUUACAAUUAAACAAAUGGAUUCACGCACAUUUGUCGAAAACUUGUUCGGUGUGGGAGGAAACGAAUCAUCUAUGACACUACAAAGUCAAUUUUGGAAUCAAUUUGAAGGUUUAAAUGACGUAUCUCUACCUGAAGAUAUUCCAGAUUUGGAUCUUCAUCAUUAUGUAAGCGACAAUCCAAAUAAUCCAAUUAAUUUGGAUGAUGUUGACGUUCCUGAAACGAAACAUGAUCAGGAAGAAGAUGUUGAAUUAAACAUUUCUGAUGCGAGGGGAAAGCGAAAGGGGAAAAAACAAGCAAAAUGUUGGGAUCACUUUAAGUUGAUUUCAACGGAAAAAAUUGUCAAUGGAGUCCCAGAAUCCAAAGCAAUAGGUAAAUAUUGCCAACAAAGAUUGGCACGGCAAAGAGGAAUUGGUACCACCCAUCUCAACCGUCAUUACAAAGUAUGUGCGGCCAAGCACGAACUUAUUCCAGGCUGUCAAACACAAUUGCAAUUUGACAGUCCAGACACCGGUAGUUCUGCUGCAUCCCUAUCCACAUGGGUGUAUUCGGAGGAGAGAACUCGAACUGGAAUGGUGAAGCUUGUUACUGGUGCUGAGUUGCAUUUGACAUUAAUUGACAACCAACAUUACGUUUCGUAUGUGAAAGAAUAUCUACAGCCAAGGUACGUUGGGGUAAGUUGAAACACUCUUCGUUCCGAUACAAUAUAAUAUUUUACUGAAACAAAACAACAAUUAUGGAUUUGCAAAAAUAUGGGGGUGUCAUAUCUUUAACUUCGAAUAAAUAGGAGGGAUUAAUAAAAGAGCAUAUAUAGCUGCAACUGCACAUUAUAUAGACCCACUUUGGUGCAUGCAUAAAAAAAUUAUUACUUUUAGAAUUAUUGAGUUUUCUCACAACGCUAAUAAUAUAUUUAAUGCUAUUAUUAGUAUUGUUAGAGAAUAUCAUUGCGAAGGUAAAAUUCGUUCAUUUACUUUCGAUAAUACUAGUGUUAAUAAAGUAGUUGCCGAUAAAUUACAUAGGUACUGCAACCUGAUUUUAGUAGGUAUUUGUUUUAUAUUUGUUGUAUAUGUUAUAUUUUGAAUUUAAUUAUCCAAGAUGGUUUAAAAUAUAUAAAGAAUGAAUUUCAAAAUAUUAGGAACGCACUAAGAUAUAUCACAAUCUCUCCAAAUAGGAAACAAACAUUUGAGGAUUAUUGUGCCGAAAUAAGAGUGCAAAAUGCUAAAACAUUUGUUAGCGACGUAGGUCAUAUGUGGAACUCUACUUACUUGUUAUUAAAGUCAUGUGAAUGUUUUGAACAUUUAAUAACUGACUUUUAUAACAAUAGACAUGUUAGAAGUGAUGAUGAGGGUAUGUUGACUGAACGUGAUUGACUAAUAGCUUUGAAAGUUAAAAGAUUUUUGAUAUCUUUUUAUGAAACCACUAAGAUUUUAUCGGGCGUUUACUAUCCCACCAGCUGUAUGGUGCUUGAACGUCUUUAUAUAAUUGCAAGAACAUUUCAUAAAUACAAAAAUGACCUUGAUUUUAGUGAAAUUAUAAUUGCUAUGAAAUUAAAAUUUAGAAAAUAUUGGGAAGAUUUGAUUAUGUUAUUUCCUUUAGCAUGUGUGAUGGACUCCCGAUAUAAUUUAUCGGGAACUAAAUAUAUAAUUGAUCAAAUUUCAAACGUCUUAAUAUUUGAUACACCUAUCACAUAUAGAAAUUUAGAGCAAACAUUAUAUGAAAUGUAUGAAUUAUAUGCGAACCAAAUGGGUACCAAUAUUAGUCGGUACCAUCUGAACCUACUCUUUCCGCUGAAAUUGAAGAAGAAAAUGCGGAAAUAUUUAAUUUAUUUUAAGGUAUUAAUUCGUAUAGAUAUGAUUCAUCUGCAAUGUGUUUAUCUACUGCCACUACCAUGUCGUCCCCAUCUGUAUCUCAUUCUCAUCAAACAUAUACGGACUCAAGCCAUAAUGCAUUGCCUACUGAAUUAAUUAAUUAUUUCAACCAGAAUAUGUCAACAGAUAAAACAAUUAAAAAAAGUUCAGACGAAGUAAUUGAAUUCUGGCGAAGGUAGGAACGACGUUGGCCAGUUAUAUCUGUGAUUGCAAAAGAUCUGCUGACACCUCCAUUUAGCAUUGUUGCUUCGGAGUCUGCUUUUAGUACAGAUAAAGAGUUUUGAGCGAGGUCAGGAGUCGACUGAAAGAAGAUAUUUUAGAAGCAUUAAUGUGUGUUAAGGAUUGGUAGGACGUUCAUUUUCGACUACAAGAUAAAUAUGUCGAAAUUGCAUGUCGUCAAGUAAGUGAUAUUUGAUUUAAUUAUAUUGAUGAAACUUUUCUUUUCUUAUCAUUACUUUUACUUUUCUUUAAAAAAUUGUACACGCUACAAAAAAUUGUUCGUGUACAAUUUUUAACUCCGUUUACUGAAAAUUGAAGUAGCCGAUCCUAAACCCGGAUAAAGGAGGAGGGUUUAUAUUUUAUUUAUUUUUAAAAAAAAUAAAAAAAUAAAGAUUUCAUUUUUAUUUUUUUCUAUCUCUUUUAGUUUAAAAAAAAAAAAUUCUUUCGACCAAUUUAGUUAAAAAAAAUUUAGUACUUGGUACUAUUACUACUAUAUGUAUACAUUUUAAAUUCUUUUCUCGAACAACGCUGUGUGUACCUUUAUAUAUAAUUUUCGAAGUAAAUUCCUUUUAAAAAUUGAAAGGGUGAUCGAAUAAUUGCCCUUUUAAUUGUCAGAAAUCUUUCACUUCGAAAAUUGUAUAUAAUCUUCGAAGUGAAAGACUUCUAUAUAAUUUUCGAAGUGAAGACUUCUGACAAUUGAAAAGGCGUUCGAUUAUCAUUUCAAUUUUUAGAAGGGAGUUAUUCGAAAAUUAUAUGCAAGGAGACGUGCAGCGUUGCUUGAAAAAUUAAUUUUUAAUAUUGUUUGAAAUUUUCUUUAAAAAAUUGUACACAAACAAACAACACAAUUUUUAACUCCGCAUACUCUAAAUUUAAGUAGCCGGUCCCAAACUCUGAUAAAGGAAGAGGGUUUAGAUUUUUUACCUAAUUUUUUAUAUAUAAAAAAUUCACGAUUUAAAAAUUAAAUUUUUUUUCCAAUUUACCUAUUUGUUUCCAAAAAAAAAAAAAGAAAAGAAAAGAAAAACUACGGCGGCUCGCCAGCCGGGCUUGGCUCUGCCCACGAGCUCCGAGCUCGCCCAUUUUUGGACGAGUCGAGCUCAGCUCGUUUCAAAACGAGCACGAGCUCGGCUCAUGGCGAGCCCGAGCCGACACCCCUAGGAAAGAAUAAGUAAUGAUACAAAAAUAUUAAUAAAAAGAAAUGUACAAACAGAGUUAAUAAAAUCAGAUAGACAAUGUAUAGAAAAGUUAGUAGAAUAUAUUUCAGAUGAAUUUUUAGGAGAAAAUUAGAUAAAAAAUGUUGAAAGAGAAGAAAUAAGAGAAAAAGACAAUGCUAGAAUUAAACUAAUAAAUUUAACAAUAUGUGAUGUGUAAAAUUAAAGAAUAUACUUGUGAAUUUAGAAAUUAUUAUUAUGUUCAAUUUUACAGUAAUGAAAACCUAGAAGUAUAUCGAGAUAUGUACUAUAAUAAAUUACCAGAUUUAUGGAGAAUAUAUUUUAAAAUAGAAUUUGAAAAAUAUGUUAGAGACAAUGUUGAAAUAUCUAGAACUUUACGUUCCAGAAUAAAAUUUUUAUUUGAAAUACUUGUAUAUACAUGUCAACAAAGACAAUUAAUGAAAAAAUCAAGAAAACUAAUUAGAAUAUGUUGUGAAGAUAUGGAAAAUUCUAUACAGUGAGGAUGUAAUCUUGAAAGAAUGGUUAAUAAAAGAAAAUAUAAAAAUAAAAAAUUUAGAAAUUUUAAUAGAAAAAAUAUAAAACCUAAAAUAAGAUAUUAUAAAAGAAAAAAUAUCUCAUAUCGUCAACAGAAAAAUAAAAAUCAAUGUAAACAUUGAAAUUGUGGAGAAAUAUGUUAUAUAAGCCCUGAUUGUGAUAAAAAAAAAAGUUAAAAUAUUACAGAAAGAAUAUUUGGAAAUAAAAGAUGAAUUAAGUGAAAUAUCAUAUAUUGAAUAAUAUUAUAAUCAUGAAGUUUAUAUAAGUGAAACAGAUGAUAAUGAAUCAAAAUCUAAAUAAAGAAAUAGAGGAAAUAGAAAGUAAUAAUAUAAAUCUACAAUAAUAUGAAAGAAUAGAAAGAUAUGGAUUAAAAGUUACUUUUAAUAAUAAUAAAUUUAGAAAAUUACAAAAAAUAUCUUUAGAUUUAAAAAUAGGAAAAUUUGAAGUAUUAGAUAGAAUUUGGAAAAAAGAAAGGAUAACAGUAAAUGAAUAUCACAAAAUAGAAAAAAUCAUAAAUGUAAGAACAACAUAAAUUAAAUCUUUUAACAAAAAAUACAGUAGAAGAACUAUUAACAAAUGUUAGUAAAAAAUAAAGUGAAAAAAUUCAAUAUGUUUAUUUAGUAGGAAUACAGAUCAUGUUUAAAUCGUUAUUUAGAGAAGGAAUAGAUUCACUUUUAACUAUAACUUUGCAUGAUGGAAGAAUAAUAAAUUUAAAAAAUAGUCAUUUAAGAACAAUAGAAGGAAAUUUGGCAUAUCAAAAAAUAAUGUUUACAUGUUAUCCAAAAUAUUGUGUUUCAUUAAAAGAUAAAAAUAUUAAUGAAGUAUUAGAACUACAUUUUAAGCUGCUAGAGAUAAUAUCAUUCAAACAGGUGAUCAAAUUAUGACUAUAGAAUAUAAAGCUUUAUAUACAUUUACCAAUUCUAAUUCUGAAAAUAUUUAUUCUAAUAAAUCAUAUAUUGAAGUGCAUAAAGAAUGUAAGGAUAUUAGCAAAAUAAUAUGACCAAAUAAACAAACAAGUUUAAUUCCAGAAGAAUAUAAAUUUAGCAAAACAAAAAAUAAACUUGAAAUAACAUAAUUAAAUGAAGGAGAAUGUUCCAAUAAUAUAAUAUUUAAUGAUGGAAAAUUAAUUAAAAUAUGAUAAUGUUACAAACACCUUGUGGACACUUAUUAAAAAUUCUAAGAGAAUUUAAACCUUAUAGAGUUCAGCCAUUUCAGCGUGGUGAUAAAUGGGAGAAAAAAUCAAUCAUAUUUAGUGAAAUAAAAAAUAAAAGAAUAUUGUAUAAAAAAGUUUUAAAAAUGAAAAUAGAAAUAAGUAUAGAAAAAAUUAUAGAACAGUUAGAAAAAGUUUAUGGAGAAAAUUCAUUAUUAUUUGAAAAUCACAUCACCCUAAAGCCAAGAUAGAAUUGAUAAAAAAAUGUUGUAAUAAGAGUCAGACUAAUGAUGUAUACUGUAGAAGAUACAUAAGAAUUCAAAAAUCAGAUAAAAGAAUUGUUAUAACAAAAAUUUAUUAGACCAAGUGGACCUCAUAGUAGUCCAGCCUUUAUGGUUAUAUCUGAACAUGUUAGAGAAAAAGUUAGAAUGGUUAUAAAUUAUAAAGAAUUAAAUAAAUAUACUAAAUUUGAUAAACAUUUUUUACCAAAUAAAGAAGUUUUAAUAAACCUUGCAAAAGGAAAACAAUGUUAUUCUAAAUUCGACUGUAAAUCAGGAUUUUCGUAAAUAAAAAUAGAAGAAGAUAAUAUACAAUAUACUGCAUUUAGUACACCUCAAGGAAAAUAUGAAUGGUUAAUAAUGUCGUUUGGAUUAAAAAAUGCAUCACAAACAUAUAAAAGAUAACUUUAAUGAAUUUCUAAUUGUUUAUAUAGAUGAUAUACUGAUAUGUUCUAACAAUAAAGAAGAAUAUAUGAAUCAUUUAAUCCAAUUCAUAAAUGAAUAUAAAAAAAAAUGAAUUGUACUUUCCAAAAAGAAAUCUAUAAUAGAAAAACAAGAGAUAGAUUUUCUUAGAUUAUCAAUAGAUAAAAGAAAAAUAAAAUUACAGACUCAUAUAUCUAAAAAGAUAGAAAUUUUUUCAAAUAAAUUAGAAUUCAAAGAACAAAUAUAAAAACUUUUAGGAUGUUUAAAUUAUGCAAAAAGAUUCAUUGAAAAUCUUUCUAAGAAAAAUUAUAAAAUACAAAUUUUACGUAGAAAAACAAAUACUAAAGGAUAGAAUGAAGAACAUACAGAAUAGUUAAAUCAUUAAAAGAAGAAUGUAAAAAUUUACAAAAAUUAAGAUUAUCAGAUGAAAAAGAUAAUUUAAUUGUUAGUACUGAAUACUUAUGCCUCAGAUAAAUAUUGGGCAGUAAUAUUAAAAAUAAAUUUAAAUGAGAUUUGUAGAUAUUCAAGUGGAAUUUUUAGUCAAGUAGAAAUAAAUUAUACUACUCAUGAGAAAGAAUUACUAGUAAUUAUUAGAGGGAUAAAAACGUUUUCAUUAUUCUUACUAUCUAAGAAAUUUACUGUUGAGACUGAUAAUUCUCAAGUUGUAGGAUUAGUCAGGAAUAAAGUAUCAUCAGAACCUCAAUACAAAAGGCUCCAUAGAUGGCAAGCUUAUUUAGUAUUUUAUAAUUUUGAUAAGUUCAUAUUAAAGGAGUUAAUAAUAUUCUUGCAAAUUUUCUCAUGGAGUUAUAUCAAUCUAUAUUACAUAUACAAAAAAAAAAAGGGACAGAUUUUCUUAAGGAAGAAUUUGAAGAUAUAAAUACUGGACCAACACAGAUUUCAGAGAUGUUCAACUCAAAUAUAAAAAUAUUGUUGAAUAUCACUACUAAGUAUCAUAAAGAAGCCAUAGAACUCAAAAAUCAAGUUGAUGCUAUUGCAACACAACUAAAAAAUAUAUAGUCUAAGACAGAUAUACUCAAGAGUUCAGAAAUGAGUUUUCCAAAUUAAUACCAAACAGGAACAGCUGGAAGCAGCAGUGGACCCAGACGUGACAAUAUACCAAAUGAUAAAAAAGUAGAUUUCAUUUCAGUAACACCAACAAAAAAAAUGGUGAUACAUGGAAAUAAAAAAGAUUUCAAAACAAUCAUCAUCAUAGACCAGGAUGAUACAAUUCCUUUAGAUCCAAAAGAAGAAGAGUAUGCUAAAAUAGUUGAAUUGCUUAUAAAAUAAAAAUAAGUUAUUCAUAUUUCAUCUCUCCGAAAAAUAAUAUUUAUCCCAAAAUAACAGUCAUGGAAUGAAGAGAUCCUUUGUUUAUAAAGAUUAUGGUAGACUAUGGAUUUAUGAGUUUGAUAUAUCCAGGAAAAGAUUUGAUUGAAAUUUCGAAAUUUGAUAACAUAUUCAUAAAAGAAGUAACAAGAUUUGCCAAGAGACGAAGAAUAUAUUUGAAAUUUUAUUCAAUAUGUCUUGAAUACGAUGGAAUUAUUUAUUAUCCGGUUGAACAUAUAAUAUCAAUUGGGUAUGUAGCAGCCAACUUUCAAAUAGAUGUGGUGGAAAAUGAUAGAAAAGUUCCAACAGUAACAAGGUCAUGGAUCAGACAUAGAAGAGCACUUGGAAUUAAAGUCAUAUAUAAUAUUGCUAAAAAUUUGUUUGAUAAAAAAUUUUCAUGCUUAUGCCAAUAUGAAAAUUGGAUGCUGGUAUCAAAUGGAGGACAUGGAAAAUCAGAAAUAUUGAAAUAUUAGAUUACAAGAUUUGAAAUACAUCAAUUUCCAGGAUGUCCUACCACUAUAAGAGAAUCCUUCCAGUUAAGGGAGUGCCCCAGCAGCAUGUGAAGACAUAAAAGAUAAAUGACAAUAAUAGAAAAAGAUGCUCUUUGGAUAAAAAUUUGAAAAAGCAUGUGAAGAAAGGAGGACAAUAAUAGAAGCACUUUAAUAAAAAUCAGAUGUUGCAUGUGACGUAGGUCCAAAGAGGACAAUAAUAGAAAGGCAACUGUGUCUUUGCUGAUGUACUGAAUGAUGUAAUAGAUCAAUAAUAGAGCCUCAUAUAUUUGUAUAAAUAGAGGCAUUGUAAUAGAUAGAAAUCAUCUUAAAAUCUCGAAUUGUAAUCAGUAGCCACUCCCAAGCCAACCUUUGUCAGAAAAACCAGUUUUUCUGGAAAUCCUUGUAUACCAAAUAGAAAUCUUGUAAAAGUUCUGAUAGAAAUAAAAUUCUAAUAUUUUAAUAUCAAUAUGAGUUUCUAAAUCUUUAUUCACAAUGAUUCUUUAAGGAUCUAAUAGAAAGUUUUCUUCUUAUUUUAACAAAAAAAAGAAUUUUUCUUUAACAAAAGUAUAGAAUUUUAUUCUUUAGGUUGGUCAGUGAUUAUUUCAGGUCACUAAUAAAAAAUUUUGUAGGUCAUAAAUUAUUUCGAGGUCACAGUAAAAAAUUUACAAGUCACAAAUUAUUUCAUUAGUCACAAAAAAAAAAAAAAUUACAAGUCAAAAGGUCACAUAUUCUAUCUUUUGAAUUCCUGGCCUAUGACCUAUAAUCGUGAUAUGAUCCAAUGGCCUGUAACCAAGCCUCUUGAAUCUUCGACUUGUUUCCAAUGUACUUUGACAUGUAUUUUGAUAGGUCACAUAUUCAAGAGAUUUUGGUCACAGAAACUCAAUCGAUUAUGACCUAUAUAUCGCCACCAUCACAACCUAUGGACAUUGAUCCAUCACCAAUAUUCCACUACAGCCAUCACUGUAACACUCCACCACAACCACCAUUAUCGCACUAUCACCACAACUACUAACAACCCAACAACCAAGUAAAUCACCAAUGCCAACACUCCACUCUUCAACCUCUACAAAUCCAUUACAAAACACUAACUUCCAGUUAUGAUGGCCACUGAAAUCCACCACAAAUAAAUUCCUCUCUUCAACCUCUACAAAUCCAUUACAAACAUCAGCCCAAACAACAAACAAAUCGGACAAAAAUCGAGCCUCAAAAUCACAAGUAAUGCACAGCCCAUCCAGAUUCUUGCAACUUUGGCAACACCCACGUUCACGGACCACCACCAUCCGAUUAUCCUCACCUAGGUGACCAAUUUCAUGGUCUUGAUUCAUCAAAACCAGACCUACACAUCGAUGGCGAGAAUAAAAAAACUCCACAGUUGCGAACGAUUUCUGCGCGAACAGGCAAUCGAUCAAUUGAUGGACUAAAUGCAUUCCAAAUGAUGAAUUCUACCCAACAACAUCCAAUUGAGGUCCAUAAUAGAGUGGGUUACACAUCAAUUGAACCAAUUAACCAGCAAAUUUAUCCAAAUUUUGGGAUAUAUUACGAAAAAUUUCCUUUCGAGCUUUCUCUCAACCAUUGACGGCUCCACUGUGCUUCAAUACAGCAAAUCUAAUGCGGGAAAAUCAAUGGAAGUCCAAAAGAUGGCACCGACGAGUAGGGGGUAGAGAGAUGUCGCCGGAUUAAAUUGGGGGAAGAGAGAGCGAGAGCGAGAGCGAAAGUGGAGGCUGUGUGUGUUUAGAGAGAGAGAAGAGAGACUGGGGAAAUGGGUUUAAAAUUAGGGUUUGAAACCUGAUUUAUGAAUAAUAAAAUUUGAUCCCUAAUUUUUGAAUUCUAAUCUUUAAACACCAGGAAUUUUGUAAUUUCAUUUUUAAGCAAUUCCCCAAAGUGGAAAUUACACAAUACCAUAUUUUUAAAAUUUGAAUUUCAUAAACCAUAUUUCAAGUUUCAUAUUUCAAAAUUCAGAUUAUAAUUAAGAUUUAAUAUUGUAGUAAAUAAUAUAUUACUAAUUAAAUCAAUUCGUCCCCAAAUCAAUCGUUCUCUCUCUUUUUCCCCAUUUUUUCUUCUUCUUCGGCAACUCACCACUCACUUCGUCAGCACUGUGACAAUGAAGCUAUUGUAGUGGAGUGAGUAUCGCCUUUGGCAAUAACUAUGUCUCUGUGAGCGGAUCUAAACAACAACAUCAGAGGCGCAGUGUUAUCUCGUCCAAUUUAGGCAUGGUGGAGUCCAGCAUGGAGCGACUAGAUUUGGUUGUGGAGAUUAAGAUGGGGUCAGGAGAGCAGUGGGAGAGUCCGGCCGACAAGGCUUAUCGAAUUUCAAUCACAAAUUUGAAUUUGUGGUGGUUUGCAAUUAUGGUGGUCGAGGAACGCCAGUGGUGGAGUCUGGGCGAUGAGGCUUAUUAGAGUCCGAGCAAUGAGGCUUAUCAAAUUCCAGUCACAGAUCUGAAUUUGUGGUUGUUUGCAAAGGUUUGAUGGUUUUUGUGGCAGAUUUGUAGUAGCCUUUGAACUCAUUUGUGGUGGUUUUAUGGUGGCGACGACAAUGGUUGCAUGUUUAUAGUGUGUCAAAUGCUGUGUUGACAUCUAGAGGUAGUGAUAGGUCACAUGUUUUAGGUGUGUUUUUGAGUUGAUAGGUGAAGACAAUGGUGGUGGCGGCGGCUUGGUGCUCGUGGCGGUGGUGUUUGGAUGGCGAUAGCUUUGUUGGAUCCAACGGUGGUGGAGGUAUGUUGGAUCUGGUGGUGGAAGUGGAUUUGUUGGUGGCGGUGGUUAUAGAUCUUGCUUGGUGAGGACGCUGGUGGUGGUGAUGUGUUUGAGAUAAUGGUUUUGCUGCCCUGACUGUGGAUGACUGUGGUUGUGGUUGUUGAUGACGGUGGUCGUGUUGAUGGUGGUCACAGAUUAUUUGUUUGAUUUUGACCAAUAAAUUGAUUAAUUUAUGACCAAUAAAAAACAUGUUACCAACAAAAAAUAUAAAUUGUGACAAAAAUAAUGUCUAGCCUAAAAAAUUGUUAAUCUGUGAUCAAUAAUUUGAUAAUUUGUGAUUUAUAAUAUUUGUUAUUUGUGACCAAUUAAUAAAUCGUGACUUAUAAAUUUUUUGAUUUGUGAUCGAUGAACAAACUAUGACUUACAAAAAUUUUGAAUUGUGAACGUAUAAUAAUUUGUGACAUAAAAUUUUUUAUUUGUAAUCAAAAAAUAAUGCGUGACUCACUAGAUCGUUAAUUUGUGAUCAAAUUGUAUAGAUUUAUGACCUAAAUAUGAGUUCUGCUAUGGUAAGAGGGUUGAGGACACGCUCAAUCCCUAUUUUUUUCCUUGUCCCCAGGCCUGUCACUUUAGCAUUAGUGCCUAAAUAUAUGUAAUUAACAAAAUAAUUAAUUAAUCAAUUAAUUCAUAGAUAAAUUUUAAUAAAAAUUUGAUUUUUUAAGUUUGAAACUUGUUUUCUUAAUUUUGAAAUGUAUGGUACUUAUAUUCUUACUUAUGAAAUUUUCCCCUCCCCAAAUGUGAUGGACGGGCCUAUGUGGUCAAAGAAUAAUGUGUCGUUAGAAAGGUGGUUAAUUUUGAGUCCCUUUCUAAUUACUUUGAUUGAGUCUCAUUUGUAGAUUUUGAAAAUUUUGGGACUAUGACUGGAUGGGGCACCACAUGUAUUUUCCGUUGGCCACAAUACUUAUUCCGUUAAAUAAUUGGAACGGAUGUUAGGUAAUGAGUAACGUCUAACGUUUUGAUAAGUUUAAUGGUCAAAACUUGAUAUCUUAAACUUCAAUGAGCAACUAAAGACAGAGACAUAAGUUCAGUGACCAUUGUGACAAUUAACUCCAAAAUGAAAGGAUAAGAGAUAUUAUGCAAAAUCGCUUUUGCUAUCAUUUAGUGACUUGUGGAGGUUGGUUUGAAGAAAAGAUGAGGUGAGGGUAGGUCAUCAUAUGAGGUGAUGGCUCUCCAUCCGACGAUUGCACCACGUAGGAUGGUGCGACCAUUUCACCAAAGUUUUUCAGGUUGGUUUGAGGUAGAUUUUAGGGGUGGCAGCGGGUUAGGUUUGAGGCGGGGCAGCGGCUUCCCUAGUUUGCUUCCCCCUUUUCUUAUACAUUUUCAAAAUUUCGAGUUAUGUUAUUAUUAGAUAAUAAAAUAUAAAUUUAAAAUGGGUUUUUAAUGGGUGAAUUGUCCAAAAAUGAUUUUUUUUUUUUUAAAUUCCUCUUCACGCCGCCCCGUCUCACCAACCUAUUGGGCUGAUUUUUUUUUGCCCCAUUCAGGGCAAGAUGGGACGGGGUUUUUUGGCCAUUACUAGUAGAUUUGUGUUGGCAUGCCCAAUGAUAAUUUAUGUCGGUAUGAGUUGAAUAUUUGUUGCCUCCUUUCACGAUAUUGUGGCAAGUUAGAUUGCUUGUAGCUUAAUAGUUAAUACCAUAUUUCUCGAAAGGGAAAAUUACACUUCAGGUCCUCACCCUUCUUAUAUCGUAGCACGUGGUUCCUCUAACCAUUUUCUCUUUGUAUUUUGUCCAUAAUGUUUCAGUUUUAGGUCUCCAUGGAUAGCUUCCAUCUAAAAAAUCCAUUAUAUAUUCACGAGGCAUUCUGCAAACGUCAAAUGAAGUGAAAUAUUGCACAAAGUUCUUAUAAAAUACUCGAGAGCCGCUAUAUGUUUCUAUGACUUAGAUACAUGGAAUAUAUUAUGCAUUCUGCUUAUCAAUUCCAGUAGUUUUAGCUUUCGAUUCUCUAUAGGAUUUCGAAUUCCUUGUUCAGGCUUCAUUUUCCAAAAAAUGCAUUUCACUGUCUUUUAUUUUUAAUCACACAUUCUCCGUAAAAUAAUAUUAUACGUAAAUUCAAAACUUUUUCUUAUUUUUUAAUGUCAUAUUUAAAAAAAAAAAUUACUAUUUGAAAAUACAUUUUUUUCCUUCCUAAAAUACGGUUUUAAUGGAGCUCAAAUAGGGGCUAAAUAUUAUAAUCCCUUCUGGUUGUGGUAAAGUAAUAUCAUUGUCUUAAAUUCGAUAUUUUAUAUAUUUAUUCAAAUAUUUUGUGUGAUUCAUUACUAAUUUUCUUUGUAAAUUUACUGUUCCGUUAACCUAAAUAAUAUGAAGUAUGAACUAAUUCUAAUCAAAAUAUCUAUUUUAUUUAUUAGAAAAACCUAUAGUCUAAAUAUUCAAUGUUUAGUUGUAUCCAUAUUAUUGGAUACUCAAAACAAAUACAAGGCUCGUGGCAAAUAAGAUUACUUUUCAAACCAUUGGUUUCAGUUUGUCAUAUCUAAAUUAUUUAGUUAAAUUGUUUCUAAAUAGGUAAUUGAUCUGAAAUUUCUUUUAAAAUUUUGAUAAAUUUACUGAGAAAUUACAAGUAAAAAAUCUCUCAAUUGACCAUAAAAGAUACACGGACUAAUCUAUAAUUCUCAUUCGACUUGAGUCCAUAUUGUUCGUGUUAUUUGAGUUCUAAAUCUUCAAUUUUCUUAUUAUUCAAGUGACUACUUUGCAAAAAAUUACUUAAAAUAUUAUGUCUUUUACAUGGAAAUUACAUAAAAAAUAAAAAAAAUCGAAAUAGUCAUUUACCUAGGAAAAAAUAAGUAUUAUUUUCGAGAAAAUUAGUUUUUCAUUUAACAAUAAAAUAAAAGCAUGUUUGAGUCCCAAUUUUUUUUUCUUUUUCAAAAAAUGCAUUUUAUAAUGGUGAUUUGAUAGAGAAUGCGUUGUUAAAAAAUAAGGAAAGUUUCAAAAUUACAUGCAAGAUUAUUUUAUUAAAAAAUGUUUGGUUGAAAUAAGAGAGAAAAAUGUGGGCAUCUUCGAUAGUGGUUAUGAGAAUUGAUUUUUUUAACUGUUAGAAAAAACAGCGGUCUCACCUGUAAGUGAAGAAGUAAAAAAUGAUGACUAAAAUAGUGAAAUAACGAUAAAAAAAAGUAAUUUUUUGGAUGAAAAAUUGUUACCAAGCAAAGGCUGUAUUUUUUAAAUAAUGGGUGUCAAAUAAGGGCUAAAUAAAAAGGGAAAAAUUUAUAACUAAGAGAUUAAAUAUCAUAAACUAAAAACAAAUGUUUCAGAUUUCAAGAAUCAAAUAUUUAUUAAAAUUUAUUUAUGAUUUAAUUAAUUAAUUAAAUAUAUUAAAGUCAUAGAUUUAUGCAAUUUGAUCAUGAAUUAACGAUUUAGUUAGUCAUAUAUUAUUUUUCGAUCACAAAUCAAAUUUUUUACAUGUCACAAAUUAUUAUACGAUUACAACUCAAAAAUUUUACAUGUUACAAAUUAUUUUUCGGUUACAAGUCAAAAAUUUAUAAGUCACGAUUUAUUUAUCGAUCACAAAUCAUAAAUGUAAUAAGUCAUAACCAAUUAUAUAGUCAUAAAUUAUCAAAUUAUUGGUUAUAAAUUUACAAUCUUUAUGUCACAUGUUAUUUUUUGAUCACAAUUUAUCUUUUUCAUUUGUUACAUACUGUUUAUUGGUCACAGACAAUCAAAUAAUUUCUAACCACCAAUACUUACGACCACCAUCUCACUACUAUCUCCAAUAGUACCACCAUCACCAUCAACGUCAGAGCCACCACCAACACUUCCCAAUAGCGACACCAUCUCAAACAAAUCAACACAUCAUAGAAAACCACCACCACAUCGUCACGUUAGAUCUAUCACUACCUUGACAGACCAUCAUCGCACCCCAACAUUUCACCAUCACCACCGACCUUCGCCACAACCCCCACUAUCGACCACCCGCGCAUUGCCAAAAUAUGGAAGUUGUCACCUGAUAAGUGUGUUUUUGCACACUUAUUUAGGUCACAAAUAUGACUUAAUUACGAAUAAAAUGAUUGAAUUGUGACUUAAUUUCGUUAUAUUUGUGAAUUGUAGGUAAUACCGAUGAAUAUGGUGAAAUACAUGAGAAAAGACGCGAAAAAGGACUAAAAUGACACAAAGUGAAAGUUCAAGGACAAAGGUGCAAUUACCCAAAAGUUGACCCGAUGAACAAAUCAAGAAAUUGAGUUUGCCAUAUAGAAAUUGAUGACAUUUUGGGAUGAUGGAAUGUGAAGAAUGAAGAAAAGAUGCAAAGAAUUGGAAGAUUCAAGUAAAAGGACUAAUUUGCAAGAAAUGAAAGUUUAAUUCUACCAUGCGGUUGCAUGGUAGAAAUGUCGUGCAGCCGCAUGAAGUGAUGCAGGGAAUUCAAUUGGAAAAAGAAAAUAACCAUGCGGCUGCACGGAUUAAAAUCAUGCGGUCACAUGGUAUGUUUUCGGCGCGAUUUUUUUCUUUCUUUAUACGAUUGAAACACCUAUGGUAACCUAAUUUUUCACGGGAUAUAAUUAUAAAAAAACAUUCCAGAGACGCCCAAAACAUAAUUGGAGACCGAAAAACAAAUCUUGGAGAGGAUUUGAGCGCAAGAACAAAGAUUGACACGAAGAACUUCAAAAUUUAUUCAAGAUUUUAUAACCCAGUGAUGUCUUUUAUACAAAAUAUGAUGUAUUUUGUUAUUUUAAUCAUGUUAGGCUAGAUUUUUAUUAUGCUAGGAGAUCGAUGAACCAUGUGAUUUGAAUUUUAAUAUUCCAGUUUUGCAAUUUGAUGUUAAGACACAAUUUUUACUAUUUUGAAUGAUUUAUAUGCAAUUAAUGUUUCCGCAAUUAAGGGCUCGUAAUUGUGUGAAUUUAAGUGAUUUAUUCUUGCAUUCGAGAGAAUUAGAAUAGAUUUGACAUAAUAUAAAUCAUCGUAGGGUCCGAUAGUGGAUAGAAAUAUACUGCUAUGCCCUACGUGAAUCUUUAAAUGUUCAAAAAAUCGCAUUCAUUUUUGACAUAUGCUCUUGUCAUAAAAAUAUAGAUCGGUGGUAUAUAGAAAUAGGUUUGAUACAUCUCGAGAGAGAGUAUCGGAUAGAUUUAGGAACAUUGAUUCGUCAAAAUUGAAAUGUGGUGUCAUAUUGUGAAACUAGGCUUUAAAGUGAUAAUUGCAUGAGAAUUCGUGAUCCUAGCAUAUUUCAUUCCUAAUAAUUAUAACAAGUGCGUUCUCAACUUUUAGAUUUCAUUCUAGAGUUUUAAAUUAUUAUUUUGCAUAUUAAUUUCAAUUUAAUCAUAAAAAAAACUGCAUAAUUGAGGUUAAAUUAGGUUUACAUUUACUUUGGUAAUUUAGUUUCGGUUAAGGCUACGGUAGGUAAAAUUUUAACUAAUCAAUCUCUGUGGGACGAUAUUCGGACUCAUUAAAUUCACUUUAUUACUUGUUAAUGAACCAUACACUUGCGGUGGUUUAAAAUCGAAAGAAAUAAUUUCGCGAACAUCACCACCACCUCUCCAACAACCAAACUAAAAACAAUGCCUCAUUGCCAUCAACCACCUGUGCCACCCCCAUCGUACUGCAACCACCACCCACAAAAAAAAAAUCGCCAAACUAGCAUCCACCACCCCACACCACACCAUGACCACAUCCUGCAUCCAAAAAUAACCACCACCACCACCUUCGCCUCUACCACACAACAAUCAACACAACAAAUAAUAGAUGAAGAGAAAACAGAAAGAAUAUAAAGCGUACUAUCAUCGUUGCAAGAAUGACGACGUCAAGCGCUUCGUGUAGCGACGAUUAAUAAAGCAAUAAUGUAUCGUCGCUAUACACAAAGAUACAUCGAUGGGCAUGUGUCGCGGCUGCUUUGUGUGCAGCGGUGAAGCGAUCCCCUCCGCCCAUUGUGGCUGUUUCAUGCACAGUGGCAUUGCGCUUUCUUGCUUCCUGUUGUCGACGAAGGUGUGAAAUGAUGUAGCCGAAUAGAUCGGUGCGAAAUGAUUGAAGUGGUGUGAAAUAAACUAGGGGUUGUUGGGGUGGAUGGAUUGACGUUGAUCGGUUAUUUAAUUUAAUAAUAAAAAUAAAUUAUUAAUUAACUGAAUAUUUGAUUUUUGAAAUAGUAAAUCCAGCAUAUAAUUUAUGAAAUUGAAUGUUUAAAAGCUUCUAUAUCAUUUUCAAAAAUAAAAAGUUACCAUUUUAGGCUUAGAGCUGACCGGCGAAACAUAAGUCCUAUAAAAUGUCUACAGCCACUGGCCUAAACCCUUGAAAAGCCUUAAAUCACUUUAAAGGCACUUAUUAUGUCCAAUGACAACGAGGAAAAAUUCAUGUUUGGACCACGAAGUGAUUAAGAAAUUGAGGUCGAAAGUGAUACUGAAGGCCAACCUAAUGUAGUAGAUGAAGAAAGAAGCUGAUUCAGAAGACGAAAAAAUCCGAUCAAAGAAGAAAUCGCAGUCGCCAUGGGAUUUCUCUUCCUACUCUGAAUCAGUAGCUGAUGAACACUUCUGGCGCAGCAUUUCCUCCAUUGACGAAAAAAUUUCCAAUGCUCGUUUGCGUCAUCCUAUCCCCACCACCAAUACCCAGGCCCGGUCCUAGGCCAAGGCGAAUGAGGCCUGCUCCUUAGGCCCAAGAUCUUAGGAGGCCUCAUUUUGGCCUUUUUUUUUUUUAGUUCAUCUGGCCCAAAUGAAAUGCCCAAUCCAAUAACUAAACCAAUCCCAACCCAACAAUCCAUUUAAACAUAAAUCCCAACCCAACAAUCUAUUUAUCCAAAUCAAAUCUAAUCCAUUUACCUAAAUUCCCAAAUUUGAAAAUUCAUAUCAAAUGCCUCCGACUUUCACGACUGUCACUCCACCGUCACUCCCCUUUCCACAGUGACACAGUCCGGUGAGUGAUGUGAGUGACGGUGAGUCCACCACGAAUCUUAUCUGCCUUGGCCCUUCUUUUGGCUUCUGCUUCUACCGUCGGCUUCGCUGCUUGCCUCCGCAGCCUGCAGGUCCGCCGUCCGCACACCGCACUGCACAGGCCACAGGACCAUAAAAAUCCCCUUCCCUCCGCUACACUAGCACGCAGAGCCCGUACUUGCUGCAAGGCUAUGAGAUUUUAUAGUUUUUUAAUUUUAUUUUUAUUUUCUCGUUCUAUUUCUCACCUCCACAAUAUCACCUUCUUUGGCAACAAUUCGUUUAAUAAAUACAUCUUCAUCUGUGUAUCCAACUUCCUGAAGAACUGGUGGGCUUUUGAAGAUCACAAUAUCAUUGGGACAGGGCUUCCUGAAAUAAUAGAAGACCUGUACAUUUAAAAUUAAAAAUGACGGAAUCAGUUACCAAAGCUUUUGGUGGACUACGGACAUUAUAGUAGUUCAAUUAGUAGAAUUUUAAACAAGGGGAGGACAUCAACAUCCAUUUUCAGAAGUAAGAGUUUAAGCAUUUAGCAAUUAGCAUCAUAUUGAUUGCAGCAGACAACUGAGAUGUGAUGCAUAGUUUAUCAUAAAUUCAUAAUAUAAAGAAGAAAUAGUUAGUAGAUUUAAAAAUAAUAGCUGGACCAGUUCUAGCUCAUGAAGCUUGGAGCAGUGUAUAGCUUUUCGGAACUAGUUGAAACGGCAUAUUAUGGUAAGUUUCGAAAUUUCGACUGGCUAGAACAAUUCCAUGAGUGAUGACCUUCAGCUCCUAGUUUGGGAUAUAAAUUCGAAGGCACCCAUUUUGUUGAUGCAUUUACUUCGACCUUUUUUCAAUGAAGAAACCCUUGAACCUCAUUCUACUUGUGUGUUCCUUCCAAUAAUAAAUGUAUUAUAUCAAUUCUAAAUUUCUAAUUGAUGCCUAAUCCUGUUCAGAUGUUCAUCUCCACCCUUGGGUCAUUUUUCUUAAACCUAUAUACAUAGUUAAGAUAACUUCUGUAAUACAAUUAAUCCACAUGGUUUUAUAUUUGCUUUGAAGGGAGUUUAUCCUGCACUUGGUCUGUCACCAUCAUAUGUGAAAUUCUCUCUCUAGUAACAUCACUGUAAUAUUGCAGCAAAAUCUAUGAUCUUCAAUUUAUUUCCGUUCUUCAAAUCAUGAAUGCAAAAAUAUUUUUAGAUAUCUACUGAUUCAUGCUCUAAAUUCUUCGAUUUUCUUUUCGUCGUUUGUAAUUUCUGCUUUUUCUCCUAGCUAUCUGCUUGUUUGGGAGUGGAAAUCUAAGCGUUAUAUAUUGAAGCAACAAGGGCAUUAUUUUGAUGUAAACUCCAUUGCAUAUUCACCAAAUUCACAGUUUUUUGCCACCGGAGCAGAUGAUAACAAAAUCAAGGUAAGUGAAGGAACAUAUUUUUCUUUGCAUUAGUAUUAGUUAUUGGAUUUCGCUGCAUAUGCCACUCUGAGAAAUUAACCUGUGAACUUGUAAUGGUACUCCAACAAAUUGAAAUGGUUAUUCCUUUUGAUUUUCCAGCUGAAUAAAGUGCAAUUUGCCAAAAGCUACUAAUUGUGAAGUAUCAAGUGGUCCAACUGUAGAUUAGUGAUAUGCAGCUAAAUAUUAAUUGACGUGUUUUUUUCCUCAUUAAUUUCUUGGAGAAAAGCACUUGUUCAUCUCUCUAGCAUUAUGUUCCCUCUAGUUUCUGUAGAUCGAUUCAAUAUCUUGUUUUUACAGCCUGCUCGACUCCCCUAAGUUUUCAGCAGCUUAAAUUCAUCUAAAAUAUUUGUUUUUUUAUUGACUUUUUUCCUUUUCUAAUCUAGUUAAGCUUGUGGUUCUCUGAUUCAAUUGUGGUUAUUGUUUUAAUGUUAGUUUUUUAAGUUAGCAAUGAGUUGCAUAAUACACCUUUGAAUUUUGUCGCUAGGGGGCCUACUUUUCAUCAUUCGCCUCAGGGCCCAUCAGAUACAGGACCGGCUCUGCCAAUACCGACUCUGAAGAAAAUCCUGAUUCUGAUUUCGGAACCCCACCACCAAGUGAUGAAUAAUAUCAUUCUGAUUCAAUUUUGAUUGAGAAAAUCAAAUUUGUGUAUUGAUUUGGGAAUGGUUGUUGGAGUAAUUAUGCUGCUUCUUGUAUGCUUCUUGUUAUUUCCAUUUUUUUCCACACAAAUUCGUUUUUAGAGCUUCUUCUUUCCAGGCCCUUGCUGCGGGCUUAUGAAGCUUUGGCCUAUAGUAAGCCCACCCCAAUCCAGGUUCUUAAUUUUUUUUAUAGUUUUUCUUUUCCCUUUAGAAACUGGAUGAAUUGAGUUAUGGCAUUUUAGCUAUUGGUCAAGUUGAUCUUUCUUUUUCCUUUUUAUAUAGGCUGCUCGUAUUCCAUUAGCCUUAACCGGUUGUGAUAUGUGUGGGAGUGCUAUUACUGGUUCUGGAAAGGUACAUUACAUAAUGAGCUGGUGACAAUAAGAAUAAUUGGUUAGCAAUAAGUAGUGCUGGUUGAUUGUGAUGCUUGAAAUGACAUAUAUUGUCCAUCUUUUUCUUGUUUUUAAUUUUUGUAGCAUAUUAAGAGAUUUUUGGAUGCUUAUUUGUGUUUUCAGUCAUAAAGAUGUGAUUUUUAUAUAAGUGAUGAUUUUAUUGUUCUUUACCUGCAGACUGCUGCUUUUGCCCUACCAACCUUGGCGAGAUUGUUAUAUCGUCCAAAGAAUAGGCCUGCUAUUAGGGUUAUAAUUCUUACACCAAGGGAGUUGGCCGUCAAGUAAGUGCCACUUCAAGUUAUUUUACGUGUGCACCCGAGUUUGUUAUUUAAAUGUCUGUGUCUAUGGAUACAUGUUUAUGGUACUUUUUUUUACCUUUUGGCUAUUUUUAUGGAUCAAACUCAAACAAUUGUAUCUUCUUCUUCUGAGAAGCUCAAAGAAGUACUCGUUACAUGUAUACCAUAUGAUGCAUGCACAUCAUUUUUCUGUGUUAUUUAGCUAUUAUCUUUGGACCAUUGAUCAAAUUUUUGUUCCCAAUUCUCAUUCCGUUUCCCACAAGAACAUAUUGAGAUCUCAUACUUGGACUUUAGUGUUUCUUUUCCCUCCACGUUGAAGAAUCUUUCAUGACAUGAAUUUGGGAUAGCAUUUCUAAUUUUGAACGUAUUUACAGUAGAGUGAAGAAAAUGCAAAAUCCUCAUAUUUAAGUUUUAAGAUUUAGCUUGUUAAAUGAGGAGGUGCUAACAUGCUGAACCAUGGUUAAAGUACAUAUACACAUUUGCUUAAUUUGCAUUACCAGCGUUGAGAUUAGCAGUUUUUUUAGGGAGAGAUUUAGAUAACCAACGAUGUUAGCUAUGAGUUCGCACCCCCUGCAAGAUCACGAUGUUGAACCAUGGUUAAAGUACAUAUACACAUUUGCUUAAUUUGCAUUACCAGUGUUAAGAUUAGCCUAACAUUAAGUUUCUAUUCCUCUGAGUAGUGGAAAAUCAAUAUCCUAAUGAAAAGAUCCUCACAAAGAGAAACUAGGUAUCCAAAGAAUGGUUGAUACACAGGUUAACACAUCUUGAAAGUAGCUUGAAAACUACAUUUUGCUUUAUGGUUUCCUCUGUUUUUGUGUUUAGCCAAUUUAUUAUCUAGUUUAUCUCUUCCUAUAUAUCAGGGUUCAUAGCAUGGUUAUGAAAAUUUCCCAAUUUAUGACACAGAUCAGAUUUUUUUGGUGGUCAUUCAACAAAGGUUUAUACUAGAAUGUGAGAAUUCCUUGUUUUGUUAGGUGAAGCUUGAUGCUCUAUCAUACUCUAGUUUGGGGGGGGGGGGGGGAACUGUAGUAGCCGAGAAAAAUAAAAUGGAAUUAUACUAAUAUUUUGUAAUGAUCUAGCAUCACGAGUAUAACCCAUUUUAGAAACGACCUACGGAAGCUCAACCCAUGUAAGAUUACGAAAGCCCAAGUCAUAAGUUAAUUAAAAGCCCAGCAAUUUAAGAGAUUAAGUUUAAGUAAAAUUGAUUACAAAGAUUUAAUGAAUAACUAGAUUGUCCAAUGGUCAUCUACAUGGUAUUUCAUAUAGGCAACUCAGGUUCGAAUCACCAUGUAAAUGUUUUUUAUAAAACUUUUAUAUGAAUUAUUUUUAUGGCCUAGAGACUCUUCAAAUUCUUAGUUAAAGAUAAAUUUAAUAAAUUUAAUGAUAAUACAACUCCCCCACUUAAUUUUUCAUUAAAAAGAAAGGUUAUAGAAGUGAAAUGUCACUUUUUCACUACACUCCUCUUCAAAUCUGAAUUUCAUCUCUUUUUCUCUAAAAAAAAUAUAUUUCAUAUCAAGUUAAGUUUAAUGAAUAACAAGGGUGAGAAGAAGGAAGACUUUAAUGUUUAAAUGAAAUGGUACCUUCGGGUACGGUGCUUUGACAUUACAAUAGUUUGAAUGAUCAUUCUCCAGCUCUUCAUGUUAUGAUAAUCCAAUAGUAAUUGGAUUUUGCCAAAAAUUCAUCUACGUGCGACGGUAUGAAUCUAUAGUUCGAAAUUUCUAAUUUGAUAACGAAUUGUACCGAUGAUAUCUAUUGAGUUUCAAACUCAUGGAUUAAUUCCCUUCCUACAGGUUGAAUGGAUUUUCCUUGGGGCGUAGAUGAUGGUAAAUGAUGAUGCAACAUGUCAUGGAGAAGCCGGUGUUUUAUAUCUUUAGUUGAUUUUGAAAUGUUUACACUUUCUUUAAAUUUGAUUUCUAUGAAUAUUGUGUGGAUCUAUUUUAUGAACACUCAUUAUGAAUAAACUAUGUUUGAAAGUAGAUAUGCGUCAUAGGAAUAAAUUUACAAAUCACCGUAUACAAAAAAAAGUUAGCGACUUAAAGUUUUGAUGUCUCUGCAGAAAUUUCAGUUUCUGCCUUAUCUUUAAAAAAAUCAUAACACUUUCAUUACUUGGUAUUUUAUACGAAACCAAUUGGAUUGGAUAGCCUAAUAAGUUAAAUACUGAAUAAAAUUGGAAUCAUGUCAAUCCAAUAUCGGUAAAAGGUUAUAUGUCACAUAAAGUAAACUGUGCUGGGUGCUGUCUCUGUUUUUCAGCUUCUGCCAUUGGUUUCAAAAAUUUAUAACUCACUCGUUACUUGGAAUUUUUGGAUGAAACCAAUUGGAUUUGAUAGUCUCAUGGAUUAGCUACUGAGUAAAUUUUAAAUCAUGUGGUUUUGACGUCGGUGGAAUUUUAUAUGCCAUUUUAAGUUAAUUGCACCGGUUUACCUUUCAACUGGGUCGCUGCUAAGUUUUGAAAAAUAUUUUAAUACCCCAUAUGAUGUCGACGGAAGCUAGUUUUUGGCUUUGUCAUAUUAUAAUGAGUUUACUACCUUACAUUAAAAUUUAAUGAAGUUUCAAGGUCGAUUGCUAUGAAAAUAAAUUUAUUUUGACAAUUAUUGUUUGAAAAAAAAAAUUGGAACAACAACAGUAACUUUUAAGUUUUGCCAAAAUUUCACGUCAGUAGUCGUUGCAUGCAUGGAACUCAUUCUAAAAAUAUUUUUGAAAUUUUUUUCUUUUAGAAUUGGAUUAUUGUUUAAAUAAGAAAAAAGAAAAUUCUUUAAUUAAAUUCUAAAAUUUUAUCUUUAUACUUUCUACUAAAAAUAUAUUGAACUAACUUUACGGUUAAGGUACAAUGGUUUGAAUGACGUUUCCAUCCAUGCGAGUUGGGGCGUUACAGUGUGGUAUCAGAGCACUAGUUAUAGUCGAUUCUGUAGACUUAGUGUAUUUUAUUUAUGAGAUGAAAAAAAAAUGAAACAUUUAAGGCACUCCAUGGCUUCUUGUGUCUAUCAGUUGACCUCAUCCGACGAACCCAUUAUAUGGAAUAAAAUAUUAUGUUCCACAUUAUUUUUCGAACAUGAUUUUGAUUUUUUUUUAAUCAUUUAAGCUUGAAUCUAUGAAAAAUUCUUAUGAUGUUUUGAAUGAAAUAUGCUAUGUACAUUAUAUUUUGUUUAAAUAUACGUGAAGAAAUGAUGAUUGACCAUCAUAUUAGAACCUCAAGAGCAUAAUGUAUAAGUUGAUAUCACUAAUGAAGAUAACACAUAAUUGGACACUUAUGUGACAGACAUGGCUAGAACUUAUCAGACCGCUAGAAAGGCCACAGUUUGUAUAGCAGUGUUAAAUCGUAGGGCCAUCAUCCAGUCCUAUGAGAACUAUUUUACUAACUCGUCUCGUCCACUUGUUGAACACGUACAUGAUAUCUACGAGAGAUGUAUGGCAGUUGUAGAUGCGAGACUGGAGAUCAUGCAUAUCGAGGCUGUGAAUAACCUUAUACAUUUACUUCCACCUCAGUGGGGAAACAUGGGAGUCAUUGUUAGGGAUGAGAUACUAGGGGGUAACCAUCCAUAGCACUCAAAUACGAUUGAAUUUGGUAUAUAUUGUCAGACCUUUCUAGACAGAUGGAGUGAGAGUUUAGAACCUUAACCGGAGAUAGUAAUUGAGCCCAAUAAUGAGGUUGAGCUUGAGCUCGAGCCCGAACCUCAGUUUGAAUUAGACCCAGGGGAAGAUCCCGAAUGGGAGCAUGAGGAUGACUUUGGGUUGGACUUAGAGAAUGAUCAUGAGCAUGAACCUGAGCCACAGGUUGAGAUGGACCUAGAGUCAGGGCCUGAGACAGAAGACUCCUCCAAAGAUGAGGCUCCGCCGAAGAAGAUUCGCAAGAUCAUAGGGAUUAAAAAUUUAGAUUUCCAUUUCCUUGUGAUAUCUUUUCCUUUAUGUUUUUGAAAAAAAAAAUCAAUUCUGGUUUAAGAUCUUGGCAGGCUGAAUUAGAAUCCAGCUCCACCUACACCACCAGCUCCUAUUACUCUUCCGACUCACACCUUGGUAGUUGAGUUAUUUCGAAGGCAUAAGUCCCCUAUCUUCGAUGGAGCAUCUGGUCCACUAGUAGUUGAGGAAUGGCUUCGUAAGCUAGAACGAAUUUUUCGGCUCAUAGACUGCUCUGAUGCCCAAAGGGUUCAAUGUGCGGAGUUUAUGUUUACCGGUGAUGCAAGUCACUGGUGGGAUUUGAUGUCCCGAACUAGGACUCCGGAGCAGCAAUUGGCAAUAAUUUGGGAACAAUUCAAGGAGGAAGUGAUGGACAAAUAUUUUCCUCAAUCUCUAAGGGAUUUCAAGGAGAACGAAUUCCUUUAACUCAAAUAGGGUAAAAUGUCCCUAACGGAUUACGAGCGGAAGUUCGAUCAACUCUCAAGGUAUGCUCCACAUCUGGUCGACACUAAAAUUAUGAAAACUCGAAGGUCCGAGCAAGGGUUAAACCCAAACCUAAGUAUGAUCCUUAUGUCACAUCGCUUCACGUCGUACCGUGAGAUGCUGAAACAAGCUCGCGCUAUCUGGUAUCAAAAGGCUAAUGCAGAGCAACAUCGUCAAUUGUACAACCACAAGGAUAAAGGGCAAAUUGGGAAGAAAAAGUGGAAUGGUCAAGACAAAGGAAAGGGAAAAUGGCAAAAUAAGAAAGUUAAUAUCGGAUCUAGCUCCAGUAAGGCCAUGGUAGCUGCAGUAGUGUCAUGCCCUAAGUGUGGUAAGCCUCAUCGUGGUGAAUGCUUGUAUGGGAAGAAUGCCUGUUUUUGGAGUGGCAAAUCAGGACAUAUUGCUAGGGAUUGUCCCAUAUUUGCUCAGAGGAAGGAUGAUAACAAUGAUCAGAACAAGAAGGGAAAAGCACGAGUUUUUACAUUGACUCAAAAAGAUGCAGAGGGGAACUCAAACGUAAUAACGAGUAUUGUACUGGUAGCCAAUACACCUGCUUAUAUACUAUUUGAUUCAGGAGCUACUCAUUCUUUUGUAUCAACGUCUUUCAUUGCUAAAUCUAGUAUUGCUUGUAACAAAUCAAAGAGUACACUAGAAGUUAGCCUCCCCUCAGGCAGGACAUUGAACACAAACAAGUUAGCUAAGUCAAUGAAAUUUGAUAUUGAGGGAAAAACCUUAGAAGCUAAUUUGUAUAUGAUAGAUAUGAAGGACUUUGAUGUAAUUUUGGGCAUGGAUUGGUUAGGAUGUAAUCAUGCGACCAUUCGUUGUAGAGAAAGGAAAGUGUCUUUUCAAAAAUCAGGAGAAGAACAAUUUUCUUUCCUCGGAAUAAAGACCAAACCCCAUCUCCAACUGGUUUGGGCCUUACAAGCUAAAAAAAUGUUGAGAAAAGAAACAUCUCAAGGGUUUCUAGUUAAUAUCUUUCGAGAAAAACUGGCAACGAUAAAGAUUGAGGAUGUACCAGUGGUACGAGAAUUUAUAGAUGUGUUUCCAGAAGAUCUGCUUAGUAUACCACCAGAUAGACAAGUGGAAUUCACAACAGAUCUGGUUCUCGGAGCGGCGCCAGUAUCUAAAGCCCCAUACAGAAUGGGCCCAAAGGAACUUCAGGGGUAAAAAUCCAGUUACAAGAAUUAUUAGACCUUGGUUUUAUUCGACCAAGUGUAUUACCAUGGGGCGUACUAGUAUUGUUUGUAAAGAAGAAAGAUGGAAGUAUGAGGAUGUGUAUCGACUAUCGGGAGUUGAACCGUUUGACCAUCAAGAAUAGGUAUCCUCUCCCUAGAAUUGAGGAUUUGUUUGAUCAAUUAAAAGGGGCUAAGGAAUUUUCUAAGAUCGAUUUACAAUCUGGAUAUCAUCAAUUGAAGGUUAAGGCAAAUGAUAUACCUAAGACAACUUUCAGAACUCGUUAUGGACAUUACGAGUUCACAGUUAUGCCAUUCGGAUUGACAAAUGCUAUGGUAGUAUUCAUGGAUCUGAUGAAUCGAGUAUUUCAUCAGUAUUUGGAACAAUUUGUUAUAGUCUUCAUUGACGACAUUUUGAUAUACUCCAAGAGUAAAAAUCAACAUGAGGAACAUCUUAGAAUAGCGUUAGAGAUACUACGCAAGGAAAAGUUAUACGCCAAAUUCAAAAAGUGCGAAUUUCGAUUUGAACGAGUUGAAUUUCUCGGUCAUGUAGUUAUUGCCCAAGGAAUUGAAGUGGACCCAAUAAAGAUGGAAGCAGUAACUAAUUGGAAGACAUCGACUAAUGCUGGUGAAGUUUGAAGUUUUCUAGGAUUGGCUGGGUACUAUCGAAGAUUUAUAGAGGGAUUCUCCAAAAUAGCUGGACCAAUGACACAAUUGAUAAGGAAAGGAGUAAAGUUUCAAUGGACAGAUAAGUGUGAGCAAAGCUUUCAAGAGCUAAAACAACGAUUGAUCACAGCACCUGUAUUAACCAUACCUAAAGGUUCAGAAGGAUUUAUUAUAUAUAGUAAUGCAUCUAAGCAAGGUUUGGGAUGUAUACUGAUGCAGUAUGGAAAAGUAAUUGCCUAUGCUUCAAGGCAAUUGAAGCAACAUGAGCACAACUACCCGACGCAUGAUCUAGAACUUGCGGUAGUGGUUCAUGCAUUAAAGAUAUGACGCCAUUACUUAUAUGGAGGGAAGUGCGAUAUUUAUAUGGAUCAUAAGAGUCUCAAAUAUUUCUUCACACAAAAGGAAUUGAAUAUGAGACAGAGAUGAUGGUUGAAGCUCGUGAAAGAUUAUGAUUGCACUAUUCAUUAUCAUCCAGGUAAGGCUAAUGUUGUUGCUGAUACUCUAAACAGAAAGUCGAUGGGACAGUUGGCAUCAUUGCCUACUAUUUCGAUAUUUCGAUGAAGUUGAUCAAAGACUUGGAAAAGUUGCAAAUUGAACUGAUUACCACACCAGAACAAGUCACUGCUCAUUUAACAACUUUGGUGGUUCGACCUACUCUUAGAGAUCGGAUCAUAGAAGCACAGGAUAAAUACCCAUUCUUGUAGAAGAUCAAGAACGAGAUUGGUACUGAGAAGAGAAAGGAUUUUGGAAUAGCUUCGGAUCAGGCACUAAUAUUUAAAGGAAGAAUUUGUGUGCCAAAUAAUGAAGUUUUGAGGAAGGAGAUAUUGGAGGAGGCUCAUUCCACCCCGUACGCCUCACAUGCUGGUGGUAUAAAAAUGUAUCGAGACCUUCGAAAUACAUUUUGAUUGAGGAAUAUAAAAAGAAGUAUAGGUUCAUUUGUGGCAAAAUGCAUAGUAUGCCAACAAGUUAAAGCGAAAUAUCAAAGACCAGCAGGAUUAUUAAAUCCAUUAGACAUACCUGAAUGGAAGUAAGAGAAUAUCGCAAUGGACUUUGUGGUAGGAUUUCCAAGGUCAGCAAGAGGACAGAAUGCUAUAUGGGUAAUAGUGGAUUGUCUAACAAAGUCCGCUUAUUUUCUUCCAGUAAAAAUGACAUUCAGUCUAGAUCAGCUGGCGCAGUUGUACAUUAGAGAGAUUGUAAGAUUUCAUGGUGUCCCUGUGUCCAUUGUAUCUGAUAGAGAUCCGAGAUUUACGUCAAAAUUUUGGAAGAGCUUACAAGUAGCUAUGGGAACGAAAUUGAAUUUCAGUACAACAUAUCACCCUCAAUCUGAUGGUCAGUCUGAAAUGACCAUUCAAACUUUGGAAGAUAUGCUAAGGGCUUGUGUUCUGGAUCUAGGAGGCAGUUCGGAAUCGUAUAUACCUCUGGUAGAAUUUGCAUUUAAUAAUAGUUUCCAAGCAACUAUUGGAAUGACACCGUAUGAAGCUCUCUAUGGUAGAAAAUGCAUAUCACCAAUUCAUUGGGACGAAGUCGGAGAAAAGAGAGUUUUGGGACCAGAGAUUAUUGAAAGAACAGUUGAAGUCAUUGAUAAGAUCCGUACCAGGAUAAAGGUCGCGCAAGAUAGACAAAAGAGCUAUGCAGAUACUAGGAGAAAACACUUGGAAUUUGAAGUUGGAGAGAAAGUCUUUUUAAAGGUGGCACCAAUAAAGGGUGUACCUAGGUUCGGCAAGAAAGGCAAACUACGACCUCGUUAUAUCAGACCUUUUGAAAUACUUGACAGGGUUGGAAAUGUGGCUUCUCGAUUGGCGUUGCCACCUGAACUAUCGGCAGUUCACAAUGUGUUUCAUGUAUCGAUAAUCAGAAAGUAUAUGCAUGAUCCUGAUCAUGUGGUCAACUACCAAUUCUUGGAAGUACAAAAGGACUUAUCUUAUGAGGAAUUACCGAUCAAGUUACUAGAUCGAAAGGUACAUAAAUUACGGAACAAGGAGAUUCAACUGGUCAAGUUAUAAUAGAAUAAUCAUGGAGUAGAAGAAGCUACUUGGGAAAGAGAAGAAGAAGUUAAAGACAAAUAUUCAACACUCUUUGUCCAACCAUAAGGUAAAUUUUGAGGACGAAAUUUUAUUUAAAGUGUAAGGGUUGUAGUAGCCAAGAAAAAUAAAAUGGAAUUAUGCUAAUAUUUUGUGAUGAUCUAGCACCACGAGCCUAAACCAUUUUAGAAACGACCUAUGGAAGUUCAACUUAUGUAAGAUUACAAAAGCCUAAGUCAUAAGUUAAUUAAAAGCCCAGCAAUUUAAGAAAUUAAUUUUAAGUAAAAUUGAUUACAAAGAUUUAAUGAAUAACUGGGUUGUCCAAUGGUCAUCUACAUGAUAUUUCAUAUAGGCAACCUAGGUUCGAAUCACCAUGUAGAUGUUUUUUAUAAAACUUUCAUAUGAAUUAUUUUUAUGACUUAGAAACUCUUCAAAUUUUUAGUUAAAGACUAAAUUUAAUAAAUUUAAUGUUAAUACAACUCCCCACUUAAUUUUUCAUUAAAAAGAAAUAUUAUAGAAGUGGAAGGUCAUUUUUUCACUACACUCCUCUUCAAAUCCGAAUUUUAUCUCAUUUUCUCUCAAAAAAAUAUAUUUCAUAUCAAAUUAAGCUUAAGGAAUAACAAGGGUGAGAAGAAGGAAGGCUUUCUAUACAUUUUGUUCUUUUAUCCAAAAAAAUUCAAGGUAGGUAGAGGUGCAAGUGUUCAUUCGUUUUCAAAUUUGAUUUUUCGAUAAAUAUUUAAAUGAAAUGGUAUCUUCAGGUACGGUGCUUUGGCACUACAACAGUUUGAAUGAUCAUUCUCCGGCUCUAUGUGUUAUGAUAAUGCUAUAGUAAUUGGAUUUUGUCGAAAAUUUAUCUACGUGCGACGGUAUGAAUCUAUAGUUCGAAAUUUCUAAUUUGAUAACGAAUUGCACCGAUGAUAUCUAUUGAGUUUCAAACUUAUGGUUUAAUUCCCUUCCUACAGAUUGAAUGGAUUUUCCUUGGGGCGUAGAUGAUGGUAAAGGAUGAUGCAACAUGUCAUGGAGAAGCCGGUGAUUUACAUCUUUAGUUGAUUUUGAGAUGUUUACACUUUCUUUAAAUUUGAUUUCUAUGAAUAUUGUGUGGAUCUAUUUUAUGAACACUCGUUAUGAAUAAACUAUGUUUGAAAGUAGAUAUGCGUCAUAGGAAUAAAUUUACAAAUCAUCGUAUACAAAAAAAAAAGUUAGCGACUUAAAAUUUUGAUGUCUCUCCAAAAAUUUCAGUUUCUGCCUCAUCUUUAAAAAAAUCAUAACACUUUCGUUACUUGGUAUUUUAUAUGAAACCAAUUGGAUUGAAUAGCCUAAUAAGUUAGAUACUGAAUAAAAUUGGAAUCAUGUCAAUCCAAUAUCGGUAAAAGGUUAUAUGUCACAUAAAGUAAACUGUGCUGGGUGCUGUCUCUGUUUUUCAGCUUCUGCCAUUGGUUUCAAAAAUUUAUAACUCACUCAUUACUAAAAAUUUUUGGAUGAAACCAAUUGGAUUUGAUAGUCUUAUGGAUUAGCUACUGAAUAAAUCUGAAAUCAUGUGUUUUUGACGUCGGUGGAAUUUUAUAUGUCAUUUUAAGUGAACUGCACCGGUUUACCUUUCAACCGGGUCAUUGCUGAGUUUUGAAAAAUAUUUUAAUACCCCAUAUGAUGUCGACGGAAGUUAGUUUUUGGCUAUGUCAUAUUAUAAGGAGUUUAAUACCUCACGUUAAAAUUUGAUGAAGUUUCAAGGUUGAUAGCUAUGAAAACAAAUUUAUUUUGAUAAUUACUGUUUGAAAAAAAAUGGAACUGCAACAUUACUUUUUAAAUUUUGCCAAAAUUUCACGUCAAUAGUCAUUGCAUGCAUGGAACCCAUUCUAAAAAUAUUUUUGAAAUUGUAUUAUUUUAGAAUUGGAUUAUUGUUUAAAUAAAAAAAAAUCUUUAAUUAAAUUCUAAAAUUUUAUCUUUAUACCUUCUACUAAAAAUAUAUUGAACUAACUUUACGGCUAAGGUACAAUGGUUUGAGUGACGUUUUCGUCUAUGCGGGUCGGGGCGUUACACGAACUGAAUGCUUGUUGUAUUAGCUGGGAAGCUUUCGAGUAUCUUGAUACAUAAACAAACACAAAACCUGUGUUGCUCGGACUCUUCAUUUUGGCCGAAGUAUCCAUGUCGACACGACACAGGUACACGAAUGAAAUAUGCAGCGGACACGGCGCUGUUCAACCGGACAUGACAAGGUUUUCCCUUCUUCUUCUUUCUUUUUUUCUCUCCCUGUUCUUCUUUCCCCUUUUUGCUCUCCGGAUGAAAGAGUGAGGUCCUGCAGUGUCGUAACCAGAGAAGAGGAAGUCUCGGGCGGCUCAACCCGAGAAGGCGAAGCGGCUGCAGUAGGUAGAGCCUCUAGAGCAGAGAGGAGGGAGAGAAUCGAAGAGAGAGAAAGCGAAUGGAAAAUAAUGACUUAAGUUAAUGACUGGAUUUUUAUUGGGCUUCUAGGUUAAUAAUAGACUUUUAUUUCUAUGCAUAUAGACAUGUAUUUAUGACUUUAUUUAGUCCAUUUAUUUUUUAUUUAUUGAAAUAAUAAUUUAAAAACAAUCAAAAUAUGUUAAAAAAAACUCUUAAACUUAAUAUUAAUUUUUGAAAGCAUAUAUUAUAACAAAAACUUAUUAUUUUAGUAUAAAUUUUAGAUAGUUUUAAGUGACAUGUUCUAUCUUUUAACAAUUUGUCGCAUAAUUAUUAUUUCACUUUUUAUACAAAUUUCUUCAGGAAAAAAAAUUGUUUGAGAAAUGUACCCAUGUAUCAGUGUCCAAAAUUUGUACUAUUUUUAGCCAUGUCUCCGUAUCAAAUAAAGGAUCCGACAUUUAGAUACGUACCCGUACCCGUACUCAAGUCCUAGCAUCAUAGCACAAAACUAUUAAAGGUUGAACUGAACAUGAUAAACUCAAGGGUCGGUGAGGGGGGGGGUUCUUUGGGGCACUAUAUCAUUUUAAAAUGGUUAAAAUUUCUUUAGCUGGUUCACACUUCUAGGAUUAUUGUUGAAGAAUGAGGUUAAGAGUUUCAUAUACUUAUAAUACACCGUCCUUCCUUGUCGUGCAUGUGGCUCAUAUAGAGUGAAACACAAGUUCUGGAUCAAAUGGGCCGAUGCUAGCCUGGAGCGACGAUAUCGGCCUUGCGCGGGUUUAAUUUACUAUUUGGUUGUUAGGGAUGCUGAACGGGUUGGGAUUGCAGGGGCAACGCCCCCACGGUACAGUACAGGGGUAUUUCCUGUACCGACCUUAAAGUCUCAUAUGAGUCCAGACUAGUGUUAGUAUAAAUAAUUUUUUGUAACCCUAUUCUUCACUACUUAAUAAUGAUAUCUCCGUUUCGCUCUCGUGGACGUAGGCACACCGCCGAAUCACGUAAAUUCUCAUGUUGAUUUUUUUUUUUUUCAUCGCUUUAAUAUUGCAUAUAAAAUCCAACAUUCCCAAUGUUGUUGCUACAUUUUCCUUUAUUCUAUGUACCAAGAUAAUUUCUUUUUGAUUCACAAAUUAAUUCUAUAAUUUUUCAUAUUAUCACCUUCAAUUGUCUUAUCUUUAUCUAGCAAUGAACCAAAGAAUCAAGAAAAAGGAUUUAUGCAGCCAUCUCAAAUUUAUUGUGAACACGACUUAGUUUUUUGUAAUCCUUAGAUUAGUUUCAACAAAAUUUUCUCCUAUUCGUAUGCGCUAUUUGUCUUUACAUUAAAGAGUACUGUAGUAUGUGUCUUACAGAAAGUGGGGUACGCAAAAAAUGCCUGUGUCACAAAGUUGGGCUCCCUAGUUACAAGCUCAUUUACUGGAUGAUGGGAGUUGUAGGAAAAUACUCGUAGAUAAGUAUUUCUGAGGAAGUUUUGUAUCCUGGUUUCCAUUAUAUUUUAACUAAUUCACAUUGUAUUUUAUGGAUGUUGAUGGCUAGAAAUCAUUUCACGUUCAAAAGGCAGCCUUGAGAUCAAUGCCAGAUAUAGUUGUAGAAACUCGAGGACGUAUGAUAAAUCAUCUACGCAAUUCUUUAUCAGCACAUCAGGAUGAACUUGCUGUUCUGAUACUUGAUGAAGCUGAUCGGCUUUUAGCACUGAAAUUCAUGAAUUGGUAUAUGUUUGAACAUCUUUUCUUUUUCUAUUAAGAGGAGUUAGUACUGUCGUUUCUCAUUGUAGAUAGAGGAACAAAUGCAACAAGUCUUUAUUUUGGCUUAAAAUUUUCAACUAUAACGUAGAGGAAAGGAAAUUCAGUUUCUUAGAUUUUUGUUUGGACCUUUCAGCAUUUUCAUUAUUUAAGAUAUUAAGAGGCAAAAGAGCGAAUUAAACACUUCCAAAGAGAAGAAAAUGGAAAUUUCAUUAUACUAUUUGGAAAGAAAAAGGAGAUUGUACCAUGACACACUUUUUUCUCAUCACUGUUUUAUGCAUAAUUUCUACCACAUUUGGAAAAUGAACUUCCUAGAGUUGAUAUCUAAAUAUGUUUUUUCCAUUAUGUAAAUUCGUUCAUUGAGUUCCAUCGAAAAAUUAAAGAGUGAUGUUGAUAAGUGACAGAAAAGCAAAUUUAACAAUGAACUUCCAGUCACUUAAACUUUUGGACUCCAGCUUUUCUCUAUACUCAUUUUGUGCUGGGGUUCACUAAUUCUGUUAGACUUAAUCGGAUUCAAUCUCUUUGGCGUGCCAGAUAUUAACUUACAGAAUUGCUUAUGCACAUGAAAGGAAUUUUUCCUGCUUAUACAGCUAAAUAUUAAGCAAUGGCAGUUGAUGCUACCAUAUUCCCUGCUACUAUUUCAUUUGUAUAAUGUGAAUUGGUUGAAAUUUUGAGAAGCAGCUGUCUAUGAGUUAGUAAAGAAGCUGAAGCCAGGUUUCUCUAUGCUACAGAUGGCUUAAUGUCAUAGCUUUUAUCGUUACAACUGAGGUAUCAAGGAGAAAGGAAGAAAAUUCCUAAUUAUAUGGGGUUCAUUGUCUCUUUGGGUUAGUCUAGGAUCUUAAGAGUAAAAAACUCAGUGUACCCUACAAAAUGCAGUAAAGGGCAUUUGACUGAAAUCUGUAUAGAAGGAUAAGAAAUAUUUGUAUCUGUUGAAGACUAUAAAAGUGCAAGAAAAAAUAAAAUUGUUUUUAUGUCCUGAGAAUUAGAAAGUUCAAUUAGCAAAGGUCAGCAAACUGUCCUGGCUGUAGCUGCUUUUGGCAUUUGAAAUUUCUUGAAUGUCAAGGAGGUCUCUUAAGUCAUACCCUUUCUUGUUUCUCUUGUCUACAAACUUUAAUAUUUUUAGCAUUUUUAAACUUUGUCAAUUCCUUUGAUGAUUCAAACUCAUUCUUUAAACUAGUUGAUUGUUCUCUUUUGUUUUGGUUAAGUUGUGUCCAAAACGAAGGCAGACUAUGCUGUUUUCUGCAACUAUGACUAAUGAAGUUGCUGAGUCGUCAAGCUAUCUUUGAACAAACCCUUGCGUCUCUCGGCCGAUCCAUCUGCAAAGCGACCAGCAACUUUGACUGGAGUAAGUCAUCUGUAGAUCCCUUUGCUGUUGGACCAGGGUACAUAUAUUAUGUUACAUGAUCUUUUGUAGAUCCCCAAAAAUUGUGCUCAUAUUAGCAUGUACAUUAUGUAUGCAGGUUUGUUCGAUUAAGACGGAUGCAUGAAGGAAAUAUUCUUCUUGCAUUAUGCCCCAAAACCUUUGCAUCCAAAGUGAUUAUUUUCAGCUUAUACCAAGCUCUUAAACAUAUAUAUAAUUUUCAUCAUGGCUAUUAUUAUGUCUAGUUAGGGCUCUUACUUAUCAAAAGGUCACUGAUGAAAAGUAGUCUGAUUUGGAUGCAUAGUUACAUUACAUUUUCAUUCUUGAGUUAGUUCGAAUGUUGACAUCUGCAAAAAUUACAGAAUUAUGAUGUGGGAGUUUUAAGUGCUGUGGAAGCCUUGUGCUUAACGGGGCAAGUCUUGUGUAAAUCCAGUUGUCUGAUCCUGCAUUGUGGCUCCUAGGCAAGGGUGGCCCGACCUUUGUUUAGCUUGGGCCUGCCCAAAUGGGUCUCUUUAUUUUUUUUGUCCCUUCAAAAAAGUGAACCGAUCAAAAUUUAGAAACUGUUUAACGAGCCUCUUGGAUGUACUGCACCUUGCAUUUUUUGCACAGCCUGUCCCAGGAGAAAAGUUCCUGCCGUGCCUGGUCCAUAGGCGGUCCUGUUGAGUUUGUUUUAUACUUCCAUGAAUGUCACAGGACUUGCAAUUUCUCAACAGCCUGGCCCUGGAGAAAAGUUCAGGCACCUGAAGAAGCUCCCAUUUACAUAAGCGAUGUAGUAGAACUAGAAGAUGGAGAGAGAGAGAGAGAGAGAGAGAGAGAGAGAGAGAGAGAGAGAGAGAGAAAAAAAUAUAAAGAGUGUGUUUAUUUUACAGACUCAAAGAAACGCAAAGAGAGAGAGAGAGAGAGAGAGAGAGACCAAAAUUAAUAUGGCGUGUUUGGUUACAAAGUGUUUGAUUUCCUUGGUACAUGUAGCAAUGGAUUCUAAGAACUGGAGAAAAAAGCCUUCAUGCAGCAGACUUAAAAUUUAUGGAGAAUAAAAUUUAGUAACAUGCACUUGUAAGGUAAUGAAAAAAUAAUUAUAAGUCUUUCUUAUUUCUUGCAUAUGUACAAUAUCUUCACUGAUCUUAACUUUCUUUGAGUUUCUUCCUUUUUAAAUAAAUUGGUCUAAACUGAUCGAGUCAAUGCUAUUUUAUGUUUCUAUUGGAAGUGGAACGAAACAGGCAGCACAUAGGUUGAAAAUUAUAUUUGUUUUAGCUUUUAAAAGCGGCGGAACUUCAUGGAAAUCUAACCCAGGCCCAGCGUCUAGAUGUAAGUCCUCAGCAUCAACGAUUUCAACUACAGAAUUCUGUUCUUUUAGCCAAGCAUGCUUUCUUAUUCACUUUCUGUUGCAUAGGCCUUGAAACUUUUCAGGAAGCAGGAAAUAGAUAUUCUUGACUGCGACAGAUGCUGCUGCUUGUGUAAAAAGAAAUAAUCUCAGUUUGUUUUGCUUAGUUAAUGAUGAUAGAGUUUUUAUGUUUCAUUUGAUCUUUCCAGCUGAAUAAUUCAACUCCUAUUUCCACUUCCAUAUCUCCAGGAAUCAUGCGACAUUGAUAUAGUUGUUGAAUUCUGUACAUUAGUUUGACUUGCUGGAUGAUUAAUAACUCUAUCAACAUUAUCUAUGUUUGCAUAUAAUGAUGCAUGUGUAUUUGAAUCAGCUUUUGCAAUUGGUUUAAUAGGAAUCUCAGGAAAGACAAAAUGGUUCUGGAAGUGAGGUGAUUAGUGCCGAACAAGCAGAGGAAAAGAGAAAGCAACAGAGAGAGGUGAUUCUCAUCCUGAAUUUAUACUAGUGUACAAAUUGAUUGCCAAAUAUAUCAAUAUGAAGAUGAUUGUUUUGGACAGAAAAAUUUGCCUAGGAAGUGAAGGAGGAAAUUGGAAGCUGCUAGAGAGAUGCUAGAAGAGGAAAAUGAUGCAUGUGUAUUUCCGUUUUCUUUUUUUCUUUUUUUUUUUUUUAUUCUUUUUGUACCAUGUUGAAUUAGUUUACAUUUUCUUAUAUUGAAAUUCAUAUCGUAUACAUCAAUGGUGCAAAGGGAUUUCAACGUAGCUUGUGAUGCAAAUAUUGGCUAAAUUAUUUCAUACAUAUACAAUAACGAUGGGGUAUUUUGCACAACUAUGUGUACGAAUUGAAUUAGAAUGCCAAUUAGGUUAUGCUGACUGUAUUGUCAUGUGGAGUCAUGAUAUUCCAUGUUCUGUAAUCCUGCUGUAACAUUUACACUUAAUGCCGUGCUCAUUUUUGAUGUGCGAAAUUAUAGCUUUCCCGAAGGUUACAUUUGAGUCACGAGAAUUAACAUUUGAAAUGAUUAGGGAGAAGAGAAAAAUAAGAAAGAAAGAAACGGUAUUUCUCUUAUUGAUGUGGCUUACUGUCGGACUAAAGCAGUGAAGGCUGUAGAUAUGAGUGCUAAAAAGCAGAAAAUCUCCAGCGUGGAGGUGGGAAGAAGCCCUCAUUCAAGAGCAAGUCAUGGUAUAAAAUCUCAUCAUGAUCUUUUAUCUGCUUCAGUUUUAUUUUUUAUGUUCUGCAUAUUAUUUGUUUAGCGUGGAGCAAAACCUUAAUUCAAUUCAACGAAGCCAUAUAUCUUAUCCUAAUGAUGGGCAGUUACAUGGAUCUUUCUCCCCUCUGCUGUAUCAAUGGCCAUAUCCAAACUUAAAUCUCAAACGCUAAAUAUCUUUUUUAUUUGUAACAUGGACGUACUUUUCUCUGACAAUAAGUAAAGACGGAAAUCUAAUAGAAUGUAACUUGGAAAAAAAAUAAAGACCUCGAACGUGUUGACAAGAAAGAUUACUUCAAAUUAACUUUUAAGCUUCCAAAAACAUGCUUUUUGACAUCUAGAAGUAAAUUUUAAGCUUCUCUUGUACAAGCGCACGUAGCUUCAUGCUGUAGCAACUAUUGCAUAGGUUUGUUGAAUUGCUUGGAGGAAUUUUGGGAGUACAUCCAGAGACUGGAUGCUUCAUGGCAUGAGUUUCGUUUAAUAUUACUAGUUGGGGGUAUGUUUAUACACCGUACAAUGACUGAUGAUUCAAUUUUCAAAACUUCACAGUUAGGUGGGUCUCAUGGUAGUCUAUUGAGAUUUUUUUUUUUUUAAUAACUAUAGGUGUCCAGACCAGCUCACGCGCACCUCGACUAAUCCCACGGGACCCCUAAAGCUUACAGUCGAGUACUCACCUCAAUUAUCCUGAGGGGACUCGAACUGAUGACCAUUGGGGAGCAAACUCAAUACUUGAUCACUGAGCUACCCCUCAAGGUUGGUAGUUUAUUGAGAUGUUAUCGGAACUGUUAAUCCAUAAAAUCCUUUGCCUCUAUUUUUCUAGCGUUUUGCCAUUUACAUAAUUCUAUGAGCUUUCACUGGAAUAUUGUCAUUGAAUUUAUGAAGAUGAAUCAUGAUCUCCACGUCUUGGGUUAACAUAUUUCUUUGGGUUCAAGUUCGUAUAUUGUCUAUUAUACUACACACACAAUCUAAAUGCUUGUUUCGUACUUGGACCAAUAAACCACAAGCAUUUCACGUUCUCUCUUUUUUUUUUUUUUUUUUUUUUUUUUUUUUUUUUUUUUUUUUUUUUUUAAAAAUUUUCUGUUUUUUUUUUUUUUUUUUUUUUUUUUUUUUUUUUUUUGGUUAAUUCUGAUCAGUUCAACAAAGCGAACAUGAAACUUCUUCGGAAAAGCAUAAUUGUCAAAGAUCUAAAGUACUUUAUGGAUUCAAGCACACUUUUUACUCCAGUGCUAAACCAGUUUAUUUUCUGUCAAAGCCUCAAUCACCGCAGCCCAAAUAGGCUUUUUUAUGUAAAACAUCUCCAAUAUCAUCAAUAUAUAUAUAUUUGUCGAAGGAUACAAACAAACAAGAAAAGCAGCACCCUACAUGAUUCCAAAACAGGUAUCAUUAAAUCAACAUGAACCAAUCAUGGGUAGAGUUUGUCUUGAAUCUUAUAUAAAAAUUAAUGGCACAUUUGGCAACGGGGAUUAUAUUUACUGGACAACAUUAAGAAAGAACAAUUUGUUCAUAAUAUUGUAAAGUCGAGUUGAUCCACUAUUGAGUACCAAACACACAAUAGAAGUGCCAAAUAGGCUUGUAUGAAUUAUGAUAAAAAUUGAUGUACAGUAGUGAAUGGUGUCAACUUUUGUUCAUUCCUGUCUAGUACCGUGCCUCAAUGAUGCCAAAUAUGCAUAUAAUAUAUACAAUAUUCUUUCUCUAAUUUCAUUGAUAUAUAUAUAGAUUACUGCUGCAAGUAACAAGUAUCCUAUGUUGGGCGGAGAAAUACUAAGAAAUGAUAAGGAUACCAAGAACUAAAGACAUUAAAAUAAGAUUCUUUUCUCCUUCGGUUAAUUAGCCACAAGAUUAAAAAUAAAUCCACGUUCACCAUCAUUAUUUAGUUCCACCAUGUUAGUUUGACUUUUUUUCUUGGUUCUCUAUUAUUGUAAAUUAUUAGCCUUUUCUGAUAGAUCUUAUUCUAGUCACAUGAAAGAAAUCCGAGAUAAACUCACCUAUAUCUGUGGCGGUGUAUAAUGUUUAAAAGGAUAAUGUUCCCAGCCACUAUCUGGUUCUUUGCGCUUCUCACCAACUGAACUGAUACAGAGUUGGGAACCUGACCUCGGCUGCUCGUCCAUUGACCUGGCCUGACCCAUAUUCAAGAACUGCCCGAAGCCUGUAGUGUCCCUAUUUCGCCCCUCCAUCAUCGACCUGGAGUUGAGAUCCAAACAAGUCCUGGGAGGCACAACCCCGUUUGAAGCAGUUGACCCUGUCAUGCUAAUCAUAAAUGAUGAUUGAGAUAAGGAAGGUGGUAGAGAUGAAGCACCGCCCACAAUCUGAGAGACUACUGGUGCUCCUCUGGAUUCCAUCAUGUAUGGAAUGGGACCACCAGGUCCAUACAUCAUGGAGGAUAAAGUCAUAGCAGGUGCAAGCCCAUUGUAACUGGUAGAAUGAGCAUAUGGAAGUGCAGAUACCAUCCCCAAAUUAAUGUCAAAUGAAAGUUCUGGAGUCGCAUGCAGAAACUGAGGAACGAAAUCUUUAUGCUUGAUCUCCACUCUUGAACCCAUAAUAGAUAUUGCAGAGUCAUCCAACUUUAUACCUCCAGCAGCAUUUAAGUUCUGAGAUAUCUUUCUUAAAUGGAUAUUAUCCGAAGAAUUGAAAAAAGAAGGGUCGCCAUUCAGAUCAAUAUUCGUUAACACUGGCCAUUUCGAUGAUGAAGCGGAAGAAUGGGACUGGUAUUGAUGGUCAUUUCUCACGGGAAAGAGCUGUCGCACAGUCAGCAAAUCUGAUUGAACAUCACCAGCUUCACUUGAAUGAUUAAGAUCCAACUCAAGAUGCUCUAAUCUUGAAUUUGCUUCCACUGAAAAUUUCCCAAAUGGACCAGAAGAUACUGGGACUAGUUUGUCUGGUAGAGGAUCUUCAGUUCUGUCGUCACCGUUUCCAGCUAGAUUCAGGUCAAUAUCAAGACAUCCAUGCCGCUGCUUUGAACUGCAACUGCUUCCCCCAGAGGAAAGAUCCUGGCCACCUUCAGGUAUUUGGCGAGGUGAUGCUGUUCGGAAAGCACUUGUUGCAGAGGAACCUUUCCAUCCAAGAUUUCCCUCAAACUGAAAUGGAGAAACAGGAAAUCCAGGAGCAGAAGCAGCCCUUGAAGCAGAAACAAUGGAGAUGGGGAUAGAAAUAACAUUCCCAGAACAAUUUGUAUCGUCUGAAUAAGCUUCAUUCAGAUCAAAGUUACAAGGGCUUUUCUCAGUACUGGCAGCUUCUUGAACAGCCUCAGUGACUUGAAAGAUUUGCAUAUCUUGUUCGCUAUUCAUCUGAUCAGCAUCUUGGUUCUUGGUGCUAGUUGCAGACUCUUUUGCAAGUGGUGAAAUUCCUGCAGACAGAUCACGAUCGAUUGCCACCUCCUUAGGCGAGCCCUCUCCAUUGCAUUGUUUUCCACUUAGAGAGGCUGAUAUAUCCGGCUCCUGCGUUUUACCGUCUGAAACUUUUUCAGAAUAACUGGAACUUCGUUCUGCAAAAUCUUUAGCUUCUCUUUCCACAUAUAUCUUACAAGCAACUUCUAGUGGAUCUAUAAUUUGGCAGGAUACAUGCGUGUUAAAUUCACCACCUUCUUUAGUUUUGGAUGCACUAGAGCUUCUGCAUUGAUUAGAACAUCUGACAUCAUCUAUAUCACCUUUUCCCUCAGUGUCAAUCGUCCUCACAUCAGCAGAAGCUGAGUCUUUCUGGCAGGAAUCUUUGUCUGCAUCAUUGGAAAUUUUUAGUAAAUUAGGUUGUGUCACAGAAUUCAAUGCAUCUGCAGCAUCAGAAUUUGAAGGAUAAGGUCGGUCUCCUAUUAGGUCAAGGUUUUCGAUAGAGACUGAUUUCUCGGGAGAAAAUCCAAUAUGUGGGGUCUGCUUUACAUCACUAGUCAACUGUAACUUGUGAAGAUCAGUCUGCCUGUCAAAAGCACCCUGUGUUGGAACAGCUGGAGUACAUGAUUCAACUGAACUAGUACCUGUUGAACCACAAACAGGAGGCUCCACUUUAUGGCACAGAUUUUUGUUUUCAGGCUUUGAGAAGGACGGCGAAAAAAUGUGUUUUAAAGGUCUAUCAUCCAUAACAGCAGCGUCCAAAUUUAUCUCAGAAGUAUGUGCAUUUUCAAGCUUGUCAGAUUGAAAUGCAUCAAAACCAGAGGAUGAGCACUCUACAGUUGAUUUUAGGCAUUUUUCUUCAUCAGAACUCUCUCGGGGAAGAACAUAUCCAGAAGAAUAUUCUGGCGACCAAAUAUUUCUCUUAACACGUGCAUUUAUUCCCACACCAUCAUCAUUUAAUGUUCCAACUCUAUCAACAUCCAGGGAAGAUGUAUCACCGUCUCGAUCUUUUCCCCACCUAUCUAACAGAGCUUGAGCUGUAUUUUGUAACUUGGAACUAUUGUGGCCAAGGAGAUCCUUAACAAUACUCCAAAUCUCAGAAGAAACUGAUUUCUGACCUUCCGUAUGCAGCUUUUCAAGUGCUAGCAGUAAAUGAGUAAUUUCUUCCACGAAGCCAACACUCGUGCCAUCACUCAAGUUUCGAACAUCCUUCAGCCACUUACUAAUAAAAUGGAGUCCGUCUAACUGAAUAAAAAGAUCGAGACACUCCUUGUUCUCAGUGGCAGCUAUAGUUCUUGCAACUGCAGACCACUGCCUUGUUGCAUCACUAACGCUCUUCGUAAUAGAAUACCCCUCUUUCUUGAUGACAGCCACAAGUUCCCUGACUCGAACAGGGGCUGUAAGCCCACUAUUUUUCUCUGACAAGCUGAAGAAGUCGUCAAGCGUCAUAAUUUUGCACUUACGCCUGCAAACAUUUAAAAACACUCUUUAUAAAGUCUAUUACAUUUUCAGGCAUCUUUGGUGCUGCUCCUGCAUAAAAUCAUAUUAAAAAGGUUAAAACACAGCUAUACAAAAUCUUAAUCAAUAAUCCAUUGAAAUGCAGGGAUCCAAUCUAAUAACAGAUGCAAAAUUAUGUAGAACAGAAAAGCAUGACAUCAAUGCCCGAUGUCAUUAUUCCCAGCGUGUAGGAAGAUACCAUAUUGACACAAUGAAAAAUACAAUAAGGUUGGAAGAUAACAACUCUCCUUAACAAGAAAAUUACGGAAGCAGAACAGGAAUUUUGUACCAUGGGUCGGAAGGAAUUAGAAACAAAGGGCAAUAUCAUCUUGUUUUAUAAAAAUUGCACUGCUUAUGAAAUGGCUAUGGUGAUGAGGCUUUUUUAUAAGUUUCCUCAACUCGUAAAAAAGUCAAAUGCCUGUUAGUCAUAUUAUUCCAAGGUACCAGAAAUGCAAGAAAUUCUCGUACAAGUGACUCCCUAAGAUGCAGCAGCGGUAAUCAUCUCAUACAAUCGACUUCCUAAGAUACAAUGCCUUUCGGUCUCCUUCUUCCUCCAAAUUCAAGAUCAUAGAAUUAAGAUGUGGAGUAUAAAAUACAAUGAUCUAGUGUCAUAUCUACCUGUGCAGUGGUACAAGAGAGCUAACUACAAGUAAUAUAUAAGCAUGUGCAUCACAAAAUAUCAAAGGGCUUUUCCCCCUGGUUUUAACAUGAUAAUAGGUAGCUAUCAGAAAUUCAGACAUAAUAAUUAAUACAUAUUUCACGUGAUGAAACAUACAUCAAACACACCCAAAACAAGAACUGUGAUUGAAUAACACUGUGUCAAAUAAAACCCAUCAAUUCACAGAGAAACCCGCUCGAAAAAUCAAAACACGACAAAUAAAUCUAGGGUCCCUACAGAAACAAAAUUAUUAACAAAAUAAACAUUUUCACCAGAGAAAAAUACGAAAACCCACAAAAGUCCUGACCUUUAAAAGAAACAAAAAGGCCACAUCAUGAACUGAAACUCUAAACAACUAUAUUCUUCAUUGUCAUUGAGGCAGCGUAUUACUGCGUAAAGGCAAGUCUAUAUGUAUCGUACAGGAACUGUAGAGAUUUCGCUAAAGAUUUGGUCAUUGAUGCAAACAACGCCGUAAAAACCUACAACAGUAUAAGAGAAAUUCAAACAAUAUUACAUAAUUGUGGCAAUCAAUAGAAUUUUUUUAUUUUUUUUUUUUACCUCUUUCGACAAUUGGAAAAAAAUCCUCGAAAUUCAAUCUCCAGUUCUUUAUCUAAGCCAAAUCAAAACCUCCAGUUUUUACUAUCUUUAAACCAUAGUUUCUUCUGCAGCAGAAAAGUUACAGCUGUUAAAAAAAAAAAAAUAUCACUUUUCUCGCUUCAACAAAUAAUCGUUGCUCCAUUGUUCAACAAGUCUGAAAUUCUCUGCCGUUGAAAAUUCCUUUUUUUCACUUUUCUGAAUUUUUAUUAUUUUUUAUUACUCACAGAAGGUUUGCUUGACGGCCUGUUUUAAGUGGCUAUUCAGCACGUGCCACAUAUGCGGAAAAGUAAAAGAAACCCAGAUUAUAUUAUAUGCAAGGAAAAUUCGAACAGAAUCGGAUUCAAAUAUGCUCGGACCCACGACCCGACCCUAAUCCCCAACUUCCAAAUCUUUCGGAAAGGGAAAAUAGAGCACUGGGUCCUCAAUUUUUAAGUAUUAUAUUAAUUAAAUCUCCAACGUUUUUGGGAGUUAAGUCCCAGUACUUUUUAAUUUAUAGUAUUUUGGUCUUUAAUAAUAAACAUUUUUGGUCCAUUUUGAAGUUAAAAAGCCAAUGUAUUACCAUUAUUGUUGCGUGUUGUCAUACUUGACCAACCUAUUUGAACCAAUGGCCCACUCAUGGCGAACCACGUGGCCCUCCAGCCGAGGUGGCAUAGAUCGCCGAGGUGGACUAUCGUCGAAACCCUUCAAGCCGAGGUCUACUAGCAAGGCCCUCUUUUACCGAGGCCUGUGAAUGUACCUGAGGUCCACAUGACGAUGCCUAUGACCCGAGGCCAUGAUGCUGAAACUGGUUGAAGGUAGCUGAAGCCCUCAAGUAGAAGUAUCGUAUGAAAUGGCCGACGCCCUGGAGCCGAUGCAGGAGCCUUCGAACAACAAGGGGGCAUCCUCCAUGGUCACUUCUCCCAAGAGAUCGCCCACACAAAGAUCUUAUUCGAAUGAUUAAUAGAACGUUUGUCAUAAGCAUAAAGGUCAAGUUUUGUCACUAGUAUGGAGGCUCUACACAAGUAAUAAAUGCGCAACAAGCUAGCAAGUCAAGCCUCAUACCUAGGAUAAGAUGUUUGAAUCAAAGAGAUGAGGUCACGUGCCACCUCAUCCAAGGGCUCCCAUUUCACAUGUAUCACUAUAAAUACUUCCCUUGUGUAACAUCAAAAGGCUAAUGCAAGAAUCAAUACAAAGAACUAUACUUUACUCAACUCUCUCUCAUUUACUUAUAAUAUACAAAUCGAGUUUAUACACAUUUACACAUACAUCGACGAACACCGGUUGGUAAUUAUUGUACAAUCGGAUCACGAACAACUCGCCGGAUUCCAAACCUCACCGUCCCACGUCGUUGGGCUACUCCCACGCCCUUUGAACCGCUCGUUUUAGACCGUUCACGUGUCUUAGCGUGUUGGACAUUCGCCCACGUGUGCGCGGGUGGGACCGGCAUCUAUUGGGAAUGCUUUUUGGGGUCAACAGAUUGGCGCCGUCUGUGGGAAACCAUACCAUAACCACGAGCAACCUUGUGGCAAAAGCUUACUGAAAGGACAUUUGGGCAAUCCCCCUUGAAAAAUGAUUUGUUCUUGGAAAAGAACAAGAGGAAGCCCCAUUACUUAGCGAAAUCUGAAAUCUGACAAGAGAAAAUGAGCUCCAAUGAAGAUACUCCCCCUAGGAGGGUAAAAGAAAACGCUAACGUGCCUCCUCAGCCCACUGCCCCAGUAGCUCGACAGAGACUCCACCACCACCAAAGAAAAUGUGGGAUGUGUGCGACGGCACGAUUAUCAAGAGAGAUGGCCGCCAUGGCAGCCAACAUGAGGGAUAUUGCUAGCUAAAAUUUGGCGAUGAGGGAGCUUAUGGCCCAAAUGCAGGGCUAGGGAGGCUUUCCCAUUCCUCCAUAUGCCCCCCAAGGGCACUACCAGCAAGAGGAUGAAGUCCAAAGUCAUAGAGCUGCUACGCCAGACUAUGGCCGAGGUGGAAGCCAAUUUGAAAGGGAAGUGGAAGUUGAUGUUUCCUCCAACUACGCUUCUGGCCGACCCACCGAGGUCCAAAUGAGCCAUGAUAAUUUCCCACCUCCGUAUGAGCAAGAUCCAAGACAUAGGAGGGCAGGAAGUGUUUUUGACAGAAUCAGCCCCGCCGAACCCAGGCUAAGGCAACAGCGGGCUCAACAGCCUUGGACAAGGCCGCCUCCUCCACCUAUAAUGCCCCAGCAGGCGGAAAGAAGGCAAGAAAAUGCCCUCCGUGUUGCUCCGCCUAGAAAUAGGCCAUAGAGGAGGGAGGAAGAGGCUAGGGAUCUCCCCGGGACCUCUCACCAACAACCGGGGCAUGAGGCUGAUGAGUACGACUCUGAUGAACAGCAGAGGUCCUGCGACUUGGACGAUGACGAUGAGAACCUACCAUUCUCAAGGGAACUAAGGAAUGCCCAGGUCCCGAGCCACUAUGUGAUGCCAAAAAUACCAAAGUAUGACGGAGGAGACGACUCGGAGAAGCAUUUGAAUGCUUAUAAAACUCACAUGAGCCUAAGGGGUGCCACCCCAGCCGUGAAGUGCAAAGCCUUCCAUUUAACGAUUAGUGGAGCAGCUAAAAUCUAGUAUAGUAGAUUGCCACCUAGAAGUAUUAGAAGCUGGCCUGAGUUCAAGACAACAUUCUUGAAGAGGUUCGCAGUGAGUAAAGAAGGAGAAGGCCCCAUCCAACGUUCCCAGGUUUCACGGGGUGCCUUUCUUCUUGGCACAGAAAGGGACACCGUGCGGUAGUAGUCUACUCCGCUAGACUACCUUCCGCCUUUUCUCGGUCGCGUCGGGACGAAAGAAAAUUUGAUUGCAAUUUUGUAGAAAGCUUACAAUUGAGAAUUUGAAUACAUUGAAAGUAAAUUGAACAUUGAUUGCUGAAAACUGAACAUUACAAUUGAUGAAAGCAGAAAAUUACAAAUGCUGGUGCAGGGGGCGGACACCAGUGAGCUUGAAAGAUUUUUGAAUGACUAAUACCCCCUAUAAUAGCAUUCUGAACAAAAACCCAAGUGACGGGAGUAGACGUUUAAAAGACGAGGAAUCAUACUAAUCUUUUACCAAUAUCAGAGCUAUUUUACAAUUAAAAUAACUAUUACAAUGAAACGAAAAUUACAACUCAAACUUGAAGUAAUAUUUACAAUGUGCGGCCGAAGUUGGGCAAACUGCGGCUGCGAUAGUGUCAAGGGGCUAAGUAAAGCUGCGGUCCUUGACAUUCUCCCCCAUUUGUUUUGGCGACGUCCUCGGUGCCAUCAAUGCAUGAUACUCUUCAAUUAAUGAUUUGAAGGCCCCGAGAUCUUUUUCUCUUUCCCAAGUAUUCUCCUCGCUGCUGCAUCCCAUCCAUUUGACCAAGUACUCCUGAUGAUCUUUUCUAGAAGCCCGAGUGAUUCGAUGGUCAAGAAUAGCUUCAGCAACCUUCUUUCCAGCUUUCUUCAGUUCAAAUACAAGUCGCUUUGGCUCAUUUCUAGAUGCGUCCUCCUUAUCCGAAAAGUAUGGCUUCAACACACUAACAUGAAGGACCUUGUGGAUUUUACACCAUGAAGGGAGUUCAACUCUGUAUGCAACUCUUCCAAUCCUCUUCACAAUGGGUAAUGGUCCAAUGUAUUUUGGUGACAACCUUGAGUCCUUCCCUCUUGUUGGCUUGUAAACAAUUCUGUCGAAAAGCUUAACCAUUACCAGAUCUCCAACAUUGAAUUCAAUAAAACGACGCUUUAGAUCUGCAGCCUUUUUAUACCGUUUUUGAGCUUUUUCAAGAUAACUCCGAGCAAUUUCAAGAUUUCGUUUCCACUCUUGAGAAAAGCUCUUUGCUUGAGGGGACUUGGUACUUCGUUCAAUAUCCACUGUAUGAGGGAGUAGCGGUUGCUGGCCAGUAACAAUCUCAAAAGGACUCUUAUUGGUGGAAGAGCUCUUUUGGGCAUUGAAGCAAAUUUGGGCCGCAUCCAAAAGUUUUACCCAGUUUUUCUGCGAAGUAGAGAUAAAGUGCCGAAGAUAUUCUUCUAGCAUAGAAUUGAAGCGCUUCCGUCUGUCCGUCAGAUUGUGGGUGAAAACUGGAACUCAUGCUCAAAGUUGAACCAAGAAGUUUGAACAACUCAGUCCAAAAUAUGCCAGUGAAACGAGGAUCUCGAUCACUGACGAUGUCCUUAGGCAGCCCCCAGUAUUUGACAAUAUGUUUGAAGAAGAGUUGAGCUGUCUCUUCCGCAGAUACAUACUUAGGCGCUGCAAUGAAAGUUGCAUAUUUUGAUAGACGGUCCACCACGACAAUGAUAGUGCCAAAAUCCUCAACUUUUGGCAACCCAAUAAUGUAGUCCAUCGAUACACUUUCAAAUGGCCGGGAUGGAACGGAAAGGGGCUCCAGCAAGCCCGCCUUUUUCUGAUGAUCUGCCUUAUCUUGCUGACAAAUAAGACAAGUUUUUACAUAUGUUGCAAUGUCAUCCCGCAUUUGAGGCCAGUAGUAUGCACGUUGUAGUAGUGCACAAGUGCGUUCCUCUCCGGGAUGCCCCGCCCAAAUUGUGUCAUGGCAUUCCGUGAUUAGUGAUUUCCUCAGAUCUCCACCCUUAGGAACAUAUAGACGGUCUCCCUUUGUCUUCACUAGUUCUCCAUCUAGCCAGAACUGUCGAGUUUUACCAUGCUUGAUGAGGUCGACCAAAUAUUGGGUAGCCGGGUCCUUCUCCAUAAGUGCCCGAAUUUGGUCUCUAGUGUUCGUGGAGACUGCGCUCCCUGAAAGAGCAGCUACAGAGCAGAUGGUAGCUAAAUCGGCCCGUCGACUAAGAGCAUCGGCAACAUGAUUACUAGAGCCGGGACGAUACUCUAACAUAAAAUUGAACUCCGAAAGGAAUUCCUGCCAACGAGCCUGUUUGCUCGACAGUUUUGGUUGGGACAUAAAGUGACUAACUGCAGUGUUAUCUGUCUUCACAAUAAAUGGAGACCCAAGCAGAUAGUGACGCCAUCCUCUGAGACAAUGGACAACUGCUAACAAUUCCUUUUCAUGUGCCGAGUAACGACGUUCUGUCUGGUUUAACUUUCGGCUCUCAUAUGCUACCGGAUGUCCUUCUUGCAUGAGGACUCCACCAAGGGCAAAAUCUGAAGCAUCUGUAUGAACUUCGAAUGGUUUAGCCAUAUCCGGUAAGGCUAAAACCGGGUUCGUCCACAUGGACUUCUUCAACCUUUCAAAAGCAGCUUGGCAUUGGGAUGACCAAUCCCAAUCCUUAUCCUUCUUUGUCAAUUCAGUAAGGGGCAGUGCAAUUUCUGAGUAGCCUUUCACAAAUCUUCGAUAGUAAUUGCAUAACCCAAGAAAUGAACGUACAUCAUGUACGGUUUUUGGUGAUUGCCAAUCUUUGAUGGUUGUAACCUUCUUCAAAUCCAUGCGAAUUUUNNNNNNNNNNNNNNNNNNNNNNNNNNNNNNNNNNNNNNNNNNNNNNNNNNNNNNNNNNNNNNNNNNNNNNNNNNNNNNNNNNNNNNNNNNNNNNNNNNNNNNNNNNNNNNNNNNNNNNNNNNNNNNNNNNNNNNNNNNNNNNNNNNNNNNNNNNNNNNNNNNNNNNNNNNNNNNNNNNNNNNNNNNNNNNNNNNNNNNNNNNNNNNNNNNNNNNNNNNNNNNNNNNNNNNNNNNNNNNNNNNNNNNNNNNNNNNNNNNNNNNNNNNNNNNNNNNNNNNNNNNNNNNNNNNNNNNNNNNNNNNNNNNNNNNNNNNNNNNNNNNNNNNNNNNNNNNNNNNNNNNNNNNNNNNNNNNNNNNNNNNNNNNNNNNNNNNNNNNNNNNNNNNNNNNNNNNNNNNNNNNNNNNNNNNNNNNNNNNNNNNNNNNNNNNNNNNNNNNNNNNNNNNNNNNNNNNNNNNNNNNNNNNNNNNNNNNNNNNNNNNNNNNNNNNNNNNNNNNNNNNNNNNNNNNNNNNNNNNNNNNNNNNNNNNNNNNNNNNNNNNNNNNNNNNNNNNNNNNNNNNNNNNNNNNNNNNNNNNNNNNNNNNNNNNNNNNNNNNNNNNNNNNNNNNNNNNNNNNNNNNNNNNNNNNNNNNNNNNNNNNNNNNNNNNNNNNNNNNNNNNNNNNNNNNNNNNNNNNNNNNNNNNNNNNNNNNNNNNNNNNNNNNNNNNNNNNNNNNNNNNNNNNNNNNNNNNNNNNNNNNNNNNNNNNNNNNNNNNNNNNNNNNNNNNNNNNNNNNNNNNNNNNNNNNNNNNNNNNNNNNNNNNNNNNNNNNNNNNNNNNNNNNNNNNNNNNNNNNNNNNNNNNNNNNNNNNNNNNNNNNNNNNNNNNNNNNNNNNNNNNNNNNNNNNNNNNNNNNNNNNNNNNNNNNNNNNNNNNNNNNNNNNNNNNNNNNNNNNNNNNNNNNNNNNNNNNNNNNNNNNNNNNNNNNNNNNNNNNNNNNNNNNNNNNNNNNNNNNNNNNNNNNNNNNNNNNNNNNNNNNNNNNNNNNNNNNNNNNNNNNNNNNNNNNNNNNNNNNNNNNNNNNNNNNNNNNNNNNNNNNNNNNNNNNNNNNNNNNNNNNNNNNNNNNNNNNNNNNNNNNNNNNNNNNNNNNNNNNNNNNNNNNNNNNNNNNNNNNNNNNNNNNNNNNNNNNNNNNNNNNNNNNNNNNNNNNNNNNNNNNNNNNNNNNNNNNNNNNNNNNNNNNNNNNNNNNNNNNNNNNNNNNNNNNNNNNNNNNNNNNNNNNNNNNNNNNNNNNNNNNNNNNNNNNNNNNNNNNNNNNNNNNNNNNNNNNNNNNNNNNNNNNNNNNNNNNNNNNNNNNNNNNNNNNNNNNNNNNNNNNNNNNNNNNNNNNNNNNNNNNNNNNNNNNNNNNNNNNNNNNNNNNNNNNNNNNNNNNNNNNNNNNNNNNNNNNNNNNNNNNNNNNNNNNNNNNNNNNNNNNNNNNNNNNNNNNNNNNNNNNNNNNNNNNNNNNNNNNNNNNNNNNNNNGGCAGUAGUCUGCUCCGCUAGACUACCUUCCGCCUUUUCUCGGUCGCGUCGGGACGAAAGAAAAUUUGAUUGCAAUUUUGUAGAAAGCUUACAAUUGAGAAUUUGAAUACAUUGAAAGUAAAUUGAACAUUGAUUGCUGAAAACUGAACAUUACAAUUGAUGAAAGCAGAAAAUUACAAAUGCUGGUGCAGGGGGCGGACACCAGUGAGCUUGAAAGAUUUUUGAAUGACUAAUACCCCCUAUAAUAGCAUUCUGAACAAAAACCCAAGUGACGGGAGUAGACGUUUAAAAGACGAGGAAUCAUACUAAUCUUUUACCAAUAUCAGAGCUAUUUUACAAUUAAAAUAACUAUUACAAUGAAACGAAAAUUACAACUCAAACUUGAAGUAAUAUUUACAAUGUGCGGCCGAAGUUGGGCAAACUGCGGCUGCGAUAGUGUCAAGGGGCUAAGUAAAGCUGCGAUCCUUGACACCAGGACAUGAGGCAAGCACAUGGGGAGUCCCUAAAGAGCUUCUUAUCACCCUUCACCAAUGAGAUGACGUACUGCGUACAAGUCAGCGGUCAAGAGGCACUACCCGCACUGAGGGGAGGUCUAAACAUGACUACCUUAUUCUGGAGAAAUGUGCAGAAUCAAGACCCCACCACCUAUGACGCCCUACUCGAAAUGAUGAGAAGGGAGAUCAUCAAUGAAGAAUUGAUUAAGCAUAGGAACAGGGCAAAUAGAGGCCUCUCGCCUCCACAAAGACGACGCGGUAGAGGCCCGGCCUCCCACCUGAUGCGCUACCAGAUGAACCAGGCAGGAAAUGAGAACUCUGGUCAAUCACUUGCCGCCACCACCACUUUGAAUGCGGUUCCCACCUUGGCAUAUGAAGAUGUCAAUCCCAAUAACUGACCCCCAUCAGAUGGGGGCUUAGGAGAUGCCCCGUAGGGGGAGAGGCCAAGGUCAAGGCUUUGGACCUAGAAAUAGGUCAAACCCAAACCCCCUAGGAUACUGUGUACACCACAGGUCCUACGGGCAUAACACAGCGAAUUGUAGAGACUAUGCACAACGUUCCCGACAGGAACCCAUUAGAGACAGACAUGAUUCGUCCCAGGCGAACAGGCCCCCGUCCAGGCACGACAACCAGCGUGGGCGUGAGGAGGUCGCUCCCCAUCAAAGGGAUGUAUCCCCACGGCGAAGGGAACAUGAUGCGAAGAGGCCCAGGGAAGGGCGUAGGCACCAAAGAAAUCGGCAAGCUAGAGAUGAAGCCCUAUCCACGAGGUGGACACCAUAUUUGGAGGGCCGUAUGUUGGAGGUAAAACAAGAAACGCCAAAAGGAACUACGCCCGGGAGGCUAAACACCCCCCUUUGACAAGCUACAUUGUGGGUAGCAGUUCCCGAAGAAACCAGGUUCCACCCAUUGUAUUUUCCCAGGAAGACGCAGAGAGAGUUCAUUACCCCCACUGCGAUGCACUUGUGGUGAAGGCUGUCAUAGCCAGGAAUGGGCUCAAACGAAUGUUAGUUGACAACGGCAGCUCAGUCAACAUUCUAUUCGGAUCCGCCUUUGAUAAAAUGAUAUUGGAUCAUCAGCUGACGCCCACCACCACUCCAUUGUACGGAUUUACCGGAGAUAGCAUCACUCCGAGAGGAAAGAUAACAUUAGCAGUAGAGAUGGGGGAAUCCCCACGAACAACGAUGAACUUCAUGGAGUUCCUCAUUGUUGACAGCAGGUCGGCCUACCAUGGGGUGUUGGGCAGACCAGCCCUAAAGGAACUGGGAGCAGUCACCUCCAUCCACCACCUGUGCAUGAGAUUUCCAACAGAAAAUGGGGUGACAACGGUGAGAGACGACCAAUGAGGCUCGAGAGAAUGCUCUCUAAGCUCCAUCAAGAAGGUAGAGCCCCGGGACAUCCAUGUAAUCAUAGCUGACGUGGUCAUGGCUGACGUCCUAGGUGAUGCUCCCACCGAACAAGAAGAUGUUCAUAUGAUCGAUGCACCACCUAAUUCAGAAGCGCUGGUCAUCGAUGAAAUUGACCCCCGCAUCAUAGAGCACGAGCCUCAGGCAUCUCCAGUAGAGGAACUUGAGAGCUUCUCGGUAGACCCCAGAGACCCAUCAAAGGUGUUGAAGGUAGGCAAAUGCCUAGCCAACAUUCUGAAGGAAAAGAUUAAGGAUUUCCUGAGCAAGAAUCUUGAUGUCUUUGUUUGGAAGGAUGAGGACAUGGUAGGCAUAGACCCCAAGGUCAGCUGCCACCACCUGGAAAUUGAUCCCAAGGUUGCCCCGUAUAGACAAAAAAGGAGAGCCCUCAAUCCUGAAAGGUAUGAGGCUCUAAAGGAAGAAGUUCAAAAGCUCAUCCAAAACGGCUUCAUCCGGGAGGCAACCUACCCUAGAUGGGUCUCCAACCCGGUUUUAGUAAAGAAAAACAAUGGCAAGUGGAGGGUGUGCAUUGACUUCACCAACCUCAAUAGAGCUUGCCUGAAAGACAGCUUUCCACUCCCAAUGAUUGACCAACUAGUGGACUCCACAGCUGGGCACGAGUUGUUGAGCUUCAUGGACGCGUACUCCGGCUACAGCCAAAUCUUCAUGCACCCGACCAAUGAAGAGCACUCCUCUUUCAUUACGAACCGAGGCCUCUAUUGUUAUAGAAUGAUGCCCUUCGGGUUAAAAAACGCCGAAGCAACCUACCAAUGACUCGUAAACAAGAUGUUUGUGGACCUCAUUGGCAAAACAAUGGAGGUCUACGUGAACGACAUGCUAGUAAAAAGUUUGGAGGCCGAGGACCACAUAAAGCACCUCAACAGCACUUUCCAAAUCCUAAGAAGAUAUAGGAUGAGACUCAACCCCCACAAGUGUGCCUUUGGGGUAGCCUCGGGCAAGUUCUUGGGGUACAUGAUCAACCAACGGGGAAUUGAGGCCAAUCGCGAGAUGAUUGAAGCUCUGUGCAAGAUGAGGUCUCCCCAAAAGCCAAAGGAGGUGCAAAGUCUUACCGGGCAAGUGGCCGCACUUAGCCGCUUCGUGUCCAAAGCUACGGACAAAUGCCUCCCAUUUUUCAAAGUACUGAAGGCUGGAAAGAAAUUUCAGUGGACCGAGGAAUGUGAAGAGGCCUUCCAAUGCUUGAAAAGGCACUUGGGGCAAGCCCCCCUCCUCUCCAAACCUAAGCCCGAUGAUACCCUACAACUAUAUUUGGCCGUCUCCAAUGAGGCCAUCAGCUCGGUUCUAAUACGGGAAGAAGGGUCUACCCAACUCCUCGUAUACUACACAAGUAAAGCGUUCCUAUCGCCAAAAACCCGUUACCCCAAUAUGGAGAAGCUCGUUUUUGCUUUGAUCACGGCUUCUAGGAAAUUGAGACCCUACUUCCAAGCUCACACCAUCCAUGUACUGACAAAUUUUUCCCUGAGGCAGGUACUCCAAAAGCCAGACGCUUCAGGAAGGUUAUUGAAAUGGGCAGUAGAACUGAGUGAAUUUGACCUUGUAUUCAAGGCUAGGGCAGCCAAAAAAGGGCAAGUCUUAGUUGACUUUGUGGCUGAAUUCACCAACCUACCUGAGGUGGAUGAAAUCAUGGAACCUGUCGAACCCCCCACGUGGAAUCUUUUCGUUGAUAGGUCAGUUGGGGAUGUUGGCUCCGGCGCUGGCAUUGUCCUCAUCAGCUCCGAAGGCCACAAGCUCACCUCGGCGGUGAGGUUCGGAUUCAAAGCUACCAAUAACGCAGUAGAAUAUGAGGCACGUCUUGUGGGCCUCAGGCUGGCCACCGAAAUGCAAGUAAAGAGGCUACUCAUCAGUAGUGACUUCCAGCUGGUUGUUAGCCAAGUCAAUGGUAACUUUUCAGCCAAAGACAAAACGAUGGCCUCCUACCUGAAAAUGGUGAUGAAUCUCAUGCCAUCCUUUGAAAAGUUUGAGUUGAUCCAAAUCCCUCGCAUCGAAAAUAUGCAUGCUGAUCCACUAUCGAAGCUAGCUAGCAGCAAGGACUCAGAGCUACUCACAGUAGUACCUAUUGAGCACCUCCUCCUACCUUCGAUCGAGGCCCCAACUGUAAUGUGGGUCGCUGGGACUCCCACUUGGAUGCAACCAAUCGUAGCAUACCUCAAAGACCAGGCAUUGCCAACUAACAAGAAUGAGGCUUACAAGCUAAGAAGGAGGUCAGCCUACUUCCUCUUCAUUGAUGACGUUCUCUACAAGAGAAGCUUCUCCUCCCCACUCCUACGGUGCGUCGGAGGAGAACACGCUAACUACAUAUUGAGAGAAGUCCACGAGGGCGUAUGCGGCAACCACUCCGGAGGUCUAUCUCUGGCACAAAAAAUAUUGAAGCAGGGGUACUACUGGCCCACACUGAAGCGGGAUGCCUUCGAGUUUGUACGAAAAUGCGAUAAAUGCUAGCGCUUCUCUCCGGUGCAGCGACAACUAUCGCAGGAGCUGACCACCGUCUCUAGCCCCUGGCCUUUCUCAAAAUGGGGUAUGGAUCUCAUAGGUCCCCUACCUAAAGGUAGAGGAGGGGCAAGUUUUGCAAUUGUGGCUAUUGAUUACUUCACGAAGUGGGUCGAAGCCGAACCACUAGCAAAAAUCACUGAAGCCAACACCUCCAAGUUCUUAUGGAAAAAUAUUAUUUGCCGGUUCGGAAUCCCCCAUUCACUUGUCUCAGACAAUGGCAGACAGUUUGACAACAAGAAGGUUAGAGAAUUAUGCGAAGAGCUCGGCAUAAAGAAGCACUUCUCCACACCUCACCACCCACAAGCAAAUGGCCAAGUUGAGGCCGUGAACAAGACAAUCAAGCACGUCUUGAAAAGGAAGCUUGAUGUAUCAAAAGGGGCCUGGGUUGAUGAGCUGCCCCAAGUCCUUUGGGCGAUCCGAACCACCACCAGGACCCCAGCAGGAGAAACACCCUUCCUCAUGGCAUUCGGAACUGAGGCUAUGAGCCCCGUGGAGGUCGAACUUCCAUCCCCAAGACGUCUGCACUUCAGCGAUAUAACUAACGAUGAGCUUCGGAGGUUCGACCUCGACUUCAUCGAAGAAAGAAGAGAUGACUCCCAAUUGAAACUCGGCACAUAUCAGAGAAAGAUGACAAGGUAUUUCAACUCGAAAGUCAAGAAGAGGUCAUUCUGAAUCAACGACCUUGUACUUAGGAGGAUAUUUCUUUCCUCAAAAGAACCUGGUUUCGAUUCCGGCCCAAACUGGGAAAGUCCAUACAAGAUCAGAGAAGAAGUCCGACCUGGGACUUACUGGAUUGAAGACACGAACAGCAAGGCACAACCCCAUCCAUGGAACAUUGAACAGCUCAAAAUCUACUACCAAUAAAUGUACUAUCUUGUUGGACGACCUUUUCCAGCCUUUGUAACAUUUCUAGGGUUCAAUAAAAUUCAGUGAUUAAAUUAACGUGUUGCAAUACCUUGGAGGAAAGGCUCAUGUCCCACCUCUAAGCCACCUCGCUUGAACUCCGAGGCGCUAGCACAUGCCUCCCUUUGGCCAAAAUAAACAAAACGCUAAGGGGAGAAGCCUCAACAUGGCUGCACCAUCCACCGUGUCUGGGAUGCGUCGUAACCUCGGAGGAGAGGCUUGUGUCCCACCUCUGGGCCACCUCGCUUGAACUCCGAGACACUAGCACAUGCCUCCUUUUGACCAAAAUAAACAAAACGCAAAGGGGAGAAGCCUCAACAUGGCUGCACCAUCCACCGUGUCUGGAAUGCGUCGUCACCUUGGAGGAGAGGCUCGCGUCCCACCUUUGAGCCACCUCACUUGAACUUUGAGGCGCUAGCACAUACCUCCCUUUGGCUAGACAAAACGCCAAGGAAAGAAGCCACCUCACGUGCAAUUCUUUUUUUUGUUCCGAGGCUCAUUAUUUUCAAUUAUUCAUUUGCUUAAGUCCGAGGCUCAAACAGUUAUUAUGCUGAAGUAAAGAUCAUUUGCUUAAGUCCAAGGUUCAUUUGCUUAUCUGAGGUUCAAUCCAGUUGUUUAAAGUAAUUGAAGUUAAGGUACCAAGUUAGAGUUAUUUAGUUGGUGCUUCUGUCAACCUUUAAGUUCAUUUGCUUAAACGAGGCGCGCACACUUUGAUAAAGAAACAACAAUGAAUGAAAUAGGCAUUAUAUUGAUCUUCAAAAAGGAUUACAAAAGUGGGCCUUAGGCCAUUACAUUCGAAAAAUACUAAAAAGAAAACUAAUCUAAGCUUGAGUAGAUGGGGGAGGUGCUUCUGUGCUUGGGGCUUCGGCAGCUUGAGCAUCAGCAUUUGGUUCCCCUACAUCAGCAGCUUCAUUUCCCUGCACGUCCUCAGCAGGGUCUGAGGUACCUCAUCCACAAAUUCAGACCUAAGUUGAGUCAGAUCCAAAUUGGGAUACAGUUCCUCUGCCCGCUCCAUCACCUCAGCGUAGGCAAAGUUUCUCCAGUAUGUACUGAAGCUCUUAUAUUCGUCUGUGUUGUGGAAGUUGGCAACAUACUCCUGCACCGCCUCUUCCCUCGCCUGUUGGGCCUCCUCUCUGGCAUGGGACGCACCAUCCACAUACCACUUGACUUGGGUUUCCAAGAAAUGGUAAGCUUCUUGGGCACCCGUCAAAGAGAGAUUGGCCUUCUCCAGGGCCUCGGCGGUCACCUUCUGGUGCUCAUUGGAGACCUCCACCUUCUUUGUAAGGGAGGUCACCUCGCGCUGUGACUCGUGGACCUCCUUCUUCAAGGCCUCAAUCUGGGCCAAGGCAGACUCCAGCUUGGUCAUUUCUUCAAGUUUUUGGGCCCUUGCUUCUUCCACCUCGACCUUAGCCGCCUUCAACUCCUCUGCAAGGGAGGCCGUCUUCUCUCCCGAAGACCUGGUCCUUGUCUGAAAAUCACUCAGGGCCUCCCUGCAUUCAAGAGCGAGGCCAAAAGUUCUGAUGCUUUGGCUCAGCAACGCCCGCGUCAAGUUGGUAGCAUCGCAGGAGGAGGCAUGCAGCUGCCACCUGUCCGUCCAAAACCAAUAAAAGUUCUCUGUGGCGCUUCGGACCUCUUGUGGAAGAGCCUCGACCAAGGCUGGGGCUAAGGUCUCCUCCCUUCUAGCUAGGAAGCUUGGAGACUUCUCCUUUUCCCAAAUAGGCUUUUGUUUAGCUACCUCUUCCUCGGCAGCCUCAGCAACCCUCCUCGCAGCCUCCUCCCUGGCCUCCUCAGCCUCAGCUUCUCUGGCCAUUUCUAACUUGAUGGCUUUGGAGGCAGAUGCGAGCAGUUUUGGCUCGCUUGUUGAUUUGGCCUCGUAGGACACUGACGUCCCAAAUUUCCCGAACGAGCUAGUGACGUGCACCAGCUUCCUCCUCUUCACCUCCUCUGGGACUUUCUCUUUCCCCCGAAACUCCUUUGGCCUCUCCUGCCUCUGAGAAGCUCCCUCUUCAGAAGCCUUUGGAGUACUGUCCUUAGAAAAGCGUUCCACCUUGCCUCGGACCUCCUUGGCCCCGCUAGACCCCGGCUUCAAGGCCCUAGCCUUGGCGGUGGUGGUGGCUUUUAUAAUUGUAGCCAUGUCUGGAGCUGGGUACUCCCUCCUCUUGAAUUUAUCUGCACAAAAGCGUCAGGUCGGCACAUCAAUGUCCAAUAAAAAACACAAGGAAAUUUACAACUAUUGGAGCAUCGUACCUCUGGAAGCCAUUAGUCCAAAAUACAGAAAGUAGCGACUCCAGUCGAUCAGAUGGUCAAAGUGGCGGAGCUUCAGAGGCCUCUUAUAGAUGUCCUCUAUCACCUCGAACUCCUUCCUGCUGAGCUCGAACCUCAUACUACAAUCUGCAAUGGAACCCCCAACAGUUAGAAACUUUCAAAGUGUUCAAUUCAGAAUUACAAACCAAAAUUACAAGCAGGGGCUGGGAGACUCAUGAGCUUCGUAAUACUGGGUCGGCACUGUGCAAGAAAGGGACUUGUCCCCCUCCACUGCCUACCAUUUUCCCUGCACCCAGAACCAGGACUCCUUCUACCCCUUAAUGGAGGAAGGCAGCCCCACCACAAAGGGUGCGUGAGCCCCCCAAGGUAUAAGAUAAUACCACCCCCUGGACUCCUACCCAAUGAUCCAAGGCUGAAAAAGUGUCAUGAAUACAUGGAGAGGCAUGUCCUCCCCAAGUGACACCUCCUUCCACGGGAAGUAUGAGCCGACCAACUGGCUCCACCCAUUUGGCAGAACCUGGGUCGGUGACAACAUAAAAUUCCUCAACACCGCCCUAAAGAAGGGGUGCAGAGGAAGACGUUUACCUGCCUUAAAAUAGGUAUUUACUGACUGCCAUGCAUCCGGUCCUUGGAUAGUAGACCCGUUCAUUCGGCUCGGGGACUAGCAUCUCUAUGGUGUGGAUGACACUGUAUCUCUCCUUAAUCUCCCCUAACCUCUUCCACGUCAUACUUGAGGGCACCCUAGACGCCCCCCACUCUUCAGUAUAAUCUACUGGGUCCUCGGUCAUGGCAUAAUUAUCAGCCUCGACAUCCCCCCUCUGACUGACCUCGUAAUCUAACGACGCAACCGUCACCAGCUCCCUACCCGAGGUGAACUCCAUCUCACAGAAUAAACACAACAAAAAUAAGGUUUUUCUGCGAAUGAUACCUAAGGGAAGAACACUACGAACGGAGAUAAGCUGGAAUAUCAAAAACAGGCAGUCUUGAUGCCGGAAGAUUCAGGAAUUUGAGAGAGAAUCGAAUUGCAAAUUUUCAAAAGUCCUAAAAAAUGGGAUUUUCUUACCCUUUAUAGAGGUCUAGGACGAACCCCAACCGUUAGAUUGAAACUCAGUCAAUCUGAACCCUCCAUUGUAGAUCAAAUUCGAGGCGUUGAAUUCAAACGAUUUUUCUAACCUACGCUUCAGAUUCAAACGUGCCUCCCACGCACCCCAUCCAACGCUUCUGCUUCUAGAACCUCCAGCUGUCCUCAUAAUUGUGUUUUUAAUUCGACGGCAGUAGGCGCCUUGGAAGUCGGACGGACCAGCCACUUUUCCUCAAAAACAAGCACAAAACGUCAAAUCAUUGGCAUAGCUAUCGACGCACAAUCAUUACCAUGGAACCUCGGCUGAUGAAGCCAACAAGCCUUGUAGGUUCGGUUUCUCAACCGCCUCAGCUUCAACUUCAACUUUUAGCCAACAAAGCCUCGUAGGUUCGGUUUCCCAACCAUCUCAGCCUCACCUUCAACACAGCCUCGGCUCUUCACCAUUCACCCACAGCAGCACAUCUCUAACUCCAACAAUGAUAUAAAUAUCUAUACUUGGACUUAGGGAAUUAUUGUUGCGUGUUGUCAUACUUGGCCAACUUACCUGGGCCAAUGGCCCACCCAGGGCGAACCACGUGGCCCUCCAUCCGUGGUGGCAUAAAUCGUCGAGGUGGACUAUCACCGAAGCCCUUCAAGCCGAGGUCCACUAGUGAGGCCCUCUUUUACCGAGGCCUGUGAAUGUACCCAAGGUCCACAUGCCGAGGCCUAUGACCCGAAGCCAUGAUGUUGAAACUGGUUGAAGGUAGCUGAAGCCCUCAAGUGGAAGUAUCGUAUGAAAUGGCCAAUGCCCCAGAGCCGAUGCAGGAGCCUUCGAACCACAAGGGGGCAUCCUCCAUGGUCACUUCUCCCAAGAGAUCGCCCACACAAAGAUCUUAUUCGAAUGAUUGAUGGAACAUUUGUCAUAAGCAUAAAGGUCAAGUCUUGUCACUAGUAUGGAGGCUCUGCACAAGUAAUAAAUAAGCAGCAAGCUAGCAAGUCAAGCCCCAUACUUAGGACAAGAUGUUUGAAUCCAAGAGAUGAGGCCACGUGCCACCUCAUCCAAGGGCUCCCAUUUCAUAUGUAUGACUAUAAAUACUUCCCUUGUGUAACAUCAAAAGGCUAAUGCAAGAAUCAAUACAAAGAAUUACACUUUACUCAACUCUCUCUCUCAUUUACUUACAAUAUACAAAUCGAGUUUAUACACAUUUACACAUACAUCAACGAACACCGGUUGGUAAUUAUUGUACAAUCGGAUCACGAACAACUUGCCGGAUUCCAAACCUCAUCGUCCCGCGUCGUUGGGCUACUCCCACGCCCUUUGAACCGCUCGUUUUAGACCGUCCACGUGUCUUAGCGUGUUGGACAUUCGCCCACGUGUGCGCGGGUGGGACCGGCAUCUAUUGGCAACACUUUUUGGGAUCAACAAUUAUUGAGAAAAUAAACUUUUAAUUAUAGAAAAAAUAAUAAGAAGAAAAGACUUCCUGUCCUCAUCUUCCCACUCUCUUCCCUUCCUACCCCACCAACCUUAAACUACUGUUCGGGAUGGAGAAAUGGAGAGAAAGGCAAAGAACAGAAAACCAACGCAAUAUUGGAAGGAACUAGUAGGGUUUCGAGGAGAAACGUAAGAAUUUUGUAAGAACCUUCACAUUUUUUCUUCUAACUAUAAGCCAAAACAAAUCAAGCAUGUUUGGGAAAUAUCUACGAACGUUUCAAAGUAAUAAUAAAAUAAGUCAUGAAUAAGUGAGUAUUUGGAUCCUCAAAAUAUGUGAAUAAAAAGUGUUUUGAGAAAAUGAUCAAAUUUGUUUAUGGGACUUGGACAGGAGCAAAUUUGGCCGUCAACAUUCAAAAUUCUCUUGCUUAGUUGCUAUAUAUAUAUAUAUAUAUAGGAAAAUGAUCUAAUGAGUACCGGUGCUUAGUUUAUGUUAAGCACCGGUGACAUAGAACAACAAUUGAUUGGUGAAUAAGUUAAUGAUGGGUCCACAUGAAUUUAAUGAUUUACCAAUUAAAUGGUGUGUCAUGUCACCGGUGCUUAGCUUAUGUUAAGCACGUAACCCAAAGUUUCCAAACCGAUUACUUGAACAAGCAGAUGUAAUACAAACACCUUUAAAAAAAGAAAACCCAUGAUUUAAACAUCAAGAACGUGACGUCUUAUUCCGACCCUAAAUAGUUUUAUCCAUAUUCAAGAAAACUAAAACCUAGGUUUUGCACCUAAAAUAACAUGGCAGAAUGAGGAGGGUGAAAUGGCAUUCAAAAAUGUCACAUGAGCAUGCUGGAGAGCAAGCUCAGUCCACAAGGUGUUCAAAGCAGCAUCGACGUACGUUACAUCUAUGACAAGGCAGUAGCGUGUGUGUGAGACUCAAGGACUUGAAAAAGAGGUUUGAACUACUCUCUACCAGACAAAAACUCGUAUAUUCAUAAAAAGACCUCAGUCUAACUUGACCUGUCGUAGUACAAUCCUCCUAUGCAAUAGACAUUCAUACUAAAAAACGUCUACUUUUGUGGUUAUCAAGACGAUGAAAGACUCAAAAUCCCAUGGCACGUGAAGGGAUUAUACCUUUGGGUGUUGUAAACUCAGUCCUGACUACUUCAACAUGAAUCCUAUCAUUUGUGGGCAGCGGCUCUAGCAGGAAUUGAAACUCAUCCCAUCUCGGAUCUCUGCUUUUCUUCACAGGCUAUGGAGAAAAAAAAUAACAAAUGAGUAGCUUUUAGAAUUAAGGCACAAUACUCACAACCAAGAGCGUCCAUUACGACUAUAAAGGUUCAAGUUUCAAUGGUCGUUUGCUGAAAAGCUACUACCUUGAUAGCUCAAUAAUGUUCCUAUGAUUGUUUGCUCGUAUGUUUCUCAUGUCGAGUGCAUCAUAUUGGACAUGAAAAGUGUAAUAGAAGAAGCGAGGUCAAGAUUGAAUUUCCAUUUUAUGCAAGCUAUAGUUUACCUUAGUUCUCUUCGCCUCCCCUCUAAAGAGCAAGCGGACGUAUGGAUUUGUGUUGUGCUUCCCUUCUCGUGGAUAAUAACCGAUAUGGGACAGAGGGAAAGAGGGCAGGGAUGGACGACCGAUCCAUCAACAUUUUUAAAAAUUUUCAGUCAUAUAAAUUUAUUUUAAUAAGUAUUAUAUAGAUUAAAACACUAGUUUUUAUUUGCAAGAUAGACUCGGUGGUUUAGUCGUAAAAAUAGCAAUUUGUGGCCUUGGACAUUUGGGUUGAAAUCCGAGAAGUCACACUCUUAAUUUUUCAUUUUUUUUUGGGGAAAAUUUGCGCAAAUUAGUUCUUAAACUUUAUCAUCUACAGCAAAUAUAUAUCAACUUUUACAAAUGGACUUCUCAAUCCGCAAUCUUCAGUUCCAUAGCCCUUUUUACAGAAUUUCAUCAACAUCGUAUGCAUAUAAAAUCUAUCGUUCCACUAAUUUACAACUGAAAUGACUAAGCAGAUUAGAUUAACCAUAAACUAAAAUGGACAAAAUUGUAGUAAAGUCCUGGAUAUUUUUGGUUCAUAAUACCAUAGUGAAAUUAGUGGUUAUAUUUGGUUCAUAAUUUGUUUCGACUUGGUUGAAACUAAUCAAAAUUAGUCAUAAACAAAAGGCAUGGAAGACGAUGAAGAAUCUUCCAUUGGUCUCUCGCAUAGCUUUUUAAUCCGUAUUCUGUGUAUCUUCUUUAGUAAAGAAUAAAAGAGGGAAUUGCUUUAAAGAGUCAACAUAAAUAUGCACAUGAAAAUCUUGUAAGAAAAAUUCUCUACGGGAAUGAAUGCACGAUGGUUAAAAAUCCAUCAUAAAUUAAUUCUAGAACUCUCUGACCCCAACCAAAAAUCCAGACUCCGCCAUCAAUAAACCUCAAACCACUCGUCGUAAAAUGUCAAAUAUUCACGUGGCUUAAAUGCAAAGUAUAAGUUCAGGAAAAUAAGAUUUAAUAGGAAUGAUGGACUUGAGAUAUAUUAGAGACUACAGGAAAUUUAUUAUACUUCCAUCCAAUGAAUUCUAGUCUCACAAAAGAAUACAAGAAACAAAUUAAUUGAACCACUACGCUCCCCCUUCCCCACCUAGAAGAUUAAUAAAGAUUUACACAACCAAGAAAAAUAGAGACCAAAGUAGGAAAAUGAAAAACGAAAGAGAAUUUCUUUCAAGGGGAAAUUAGAAGAGUGCUUUUUACACCGAAUCAUGCAGUUUUCAUAUAUGUCACAGUGAUGUACAACACAAUCAAUGUGAGAACCUAAAACACUACAAAUCAGUCAUUUCGUACCUUUUUCUCCCACCCAAAGCCGGCUCCAUCCUGCAAUUGUAUGCACACCCUCCUUGUUAGGAGAAAUAUCGAAUUUUCACAACUUAAUGGGAUCGUAUUUCUCGCCCAUGGCACCACCUUUUUGUUUCUGAAAUUGAAUAUAACUCAAGGUGCUUGCAAAGAAAGCAUCUGAAGCUGGAUUUGAAGUACUACUAUCACUCUGCAUCUCGGUUUUUAUCAAUUCUAUAAGGCCCUGAAUAGCGGCGGUGGUUAUCUGAGGGCUUCCCUUCUCGAAGAAAUAAAGGUACCUGAAGCACAUUUACCAAGAAAACAACAUUUUUAAUCUUUAUAAAUACUGUCACAUUAAUAGUUUUUCAAUGCGGUCACAACAAUCGGAUCAACUAACUUGUUGAGUAUUUCAACGAAUAGUGUAACUGGUCCACUGCUACCCCUCGUAACGUUUACCAUCUGUUGAGCAGCAUUUGCAAUCCGUAAUGACCGCUUCAGGCAAAGUAAUACCCUGCAGUACAAGAAUGUUAUAAAUCAGGCUUUAAAUCUCUAGUGUAGAAAGAAGUGAUAAAUGAAAAAGAAAGUCAGAAAACAAGAUAAAGGACAGACAGAAUUAUGCAUCCACUCGCUGAUAAUGGGUGAUAUGGAGUACCCGAUAUAGCCCUAGACCCAAAAUCAACCUCAUUAAUUUCCCCUCUCCAACCACAAUCAAUCUUACGGUUGAGGCCCAAGGGAAUAAGUGUAAAAAAUGAUAGGAACCACGCAGUACAACAAAAGAAGACCAACAGAUUAUGUAAAAUUUUGAUCCAUGUGAUCCGUACAGCAAAAUCAUGACUGUUGCCUCAGAAUGAACCAUUAUCCAAUGCAUCUCAAUUGAAUAACUCAUUUUACAAGUCUAUGAAGCUAAUAAUAUAACUUAAAAAGAGUUUUAAUCAAUUUCCUAAACAUGUAUGCCUGGAGACUGGAGAUAACGCCAAUGAUUAUUUUCAGAAAGCUAACCUUUCUCCAUCUUUGAUGCCAUCCUGAUCAUCAACCCAGAAGAGAUGUGAACAUGCAUAAACUGCUCUGCACUGAUCAGGCUUCUUUAAGAGUUUUGCUGAAUACUGAACAGAAAAGAACAAUCAAGCUGGGAUGAAGGGUAAACAGGCUUUAUGAAGCAAGAUACUAAGAACAUUGAUAUACCCCUGUAGCUUUAUGAGUCAAGGUAUCUCGAUUUUCCACACCAAAUACAUUCAUCCUCUGCAGCGUCCCAAUUAUUAGGUGUAUAGCAGUCACCUGAGCUUUCGAAUCCUAAGAACAUAUAAUUUUAACAUAAAUAUUGAAGUUUAGAAAGUAGGCCCAUUCCAGUUCUAAGAAAAAAACUUGUAUAAGAUAUAGUAACUGAAUAAACUGAUUAUAUUUAAUAAGUACCGCAACUUCUUCCUCGUACAGUACAAAAGCUUGCGUGAAAAAUUCGUAAGCGACUGGUUCAAGAUCACAGUCAUUAGCUGCCUGUGGGUAAAAAUUGAAAAACCAAGUGAAAUCAAAUAUAAGUCUCCAUUUUGGAAGAAUUAUAAAUAGAUAGAAAUAAGUGGUUGUUACUACUUGUGGAUCCAUUGAAAUGUGUGGUCGAAAAUGGAGUUCAACCAUUUAUAAAUUAGCCAAACGGGUGGAUAAAUCAAUUUUUAGAUCAUCAAUUUUGAAGAAUAAUAAAUAGUGUAAUCAGCUAAUUUACACAUAUAAUGCCGGUGCUAGUGAAAUAUUUUGGUAUAAGCACAGGCACAAUGUUAUAUACAGAAUUAUUGGCGCCGGCAACAACAUUAAUUAUAUUUCUCAAUAAACUAUUACUCUUUUAUUAGUGUAUCUUAAAUAGUGUCCCUAAUCCAUUUUCACGGAGUACUGGGAUUUGUCAACAAAAUUUUACCUCAGCACAUUGCAAGUACAGUCUCAAUGCUAGUUCAGGUGCUGGAACAACUGAAAGAGCCUCGAUAAUCUGCAACGAUAAAAAUGGAUUUUUUCCAGUGUCAAGAGUAUGGCAAGAAAUUGAUUCAUGGAAUGAGGAUGGUUUUCCUGAGUAAAAUGAAAAGAUAGCAGAAAAUAUCACCCGCUAGUAUAAUCACUUAAAGAGGCAUACGAUGGAAAUGUCAGUUGCAGGUGUCAGAUAUUCUGCUUGUGCUAUGACAUAUUAUUCAACAUUAAUUCAACACCCAAAAUAGCAUGCAGGAGAUGAGCAAUCGGAACUUAGUCGAGCAAAUGGUAAUUGCUUUCAAUGAAUAAAACUGAAAACUUUUGGUCAAGAAAACUCUGAAGAAAGCCACUUGUUUUCAGUAAUGCAUCACCAACAGAGGCAGAUGAUUUUCAACCUAUAGGAGUUGUACAAGGUCAAGAUGUUCUCUCUACUUUUCACGAUUUAAAAUAAUAAUAAUAAUAAUAAUUAAAAUAAAAAUAAAAAUAAUAAAAAUAAAAUCACACUUCAGAAAGAGAGAGAAGCAUAAAGAGAAGAUCACAAGGUAUCCUAGAUAACCAAAAAUAUGAUUGAAUUGGCAAGCCAAUUGAGUACAAAUUAGAUUGAAGAUAAAGCAAUUGUAAAUUUUUAAGCUUUAUCACCUGAUUCAAGAGCUGAAAUAUUUUCUUUGGGGUGGCUGGAACUUCUUCUCCAGCUACAUCUCCAUCCUGACCGUGCAAUCUCCUGACCAACUAUCCAAAGGGAAGAGUGCGUCAAAUUAUUUAGGGAUGAGAGUUUACAUGGUUAUAAGCUAUAAUAUAGAGAUAUACAUCCAGUACAAAGUUGUUUCCCCUUUCCCGGGGAGAAAUGGACAUAACUGAUAAGUAAUAUGCUUUGAAGAGUGUCUCAUCAAUGUAAAGUGCUUUUCUAUAAACCCGUAGCUGGGGCACAAUAAACCCCAAGGGAUGUCACACGUCCAUGUAUCUCAAGACACAAUAAUAUGAAAUUCCUGAGAAGGUGGCCUGCUGAUGGUGACAUGAUUUAAAAGGUUUACUUUGAAAAUACAUUUAAUCACAAGUAAAAAAAGUAAACUUUAAAAUAAAUAAUAAUUUAUUGAAGAAUAUAAGAUGAGCAAGUAAUUCAUCUUGACAAUAAGGUGCGACUUUCAAAAAAUAGCUUUUUUACUUAAAAAAUAAGUUAUCCAAAGAUGUUUGGGAAUAAAAAUCUGCUUAAAAGUAACAUUGUUUUCAGGCUUAGCAAGAUUGAAAAGAUCAUAAUUUUGACUUGGAGCAGUGGAGGUGACUUGAGAUCGGAUCAAGGAUAGUAAGAUCCUAUUAAGCCCUCGUUUGAGCCUCAUUUUCUAAAAAUUUAUUUCUUUCCCCCAAACUCAUUUUUAACCACAUUCUCCCAAUAAAAUAAUUUUGCACAUAAAACCCAAACUUUUCCCUACUUUUUAAUAACAUUCUCCAAAAAAAUCACUAUUACAAAAUAUAUUUUUCCAAAAAAUAGGGCUCAAACAGAGCCUAAAUAAUAACAAUUUAAAUAUUAAAUAAAAUAGAAAAAGGUCCAAAAACAAAUUAUUUACUAGUUCGAUUAACCAAAAACAACCAACAAAAAAAUUCAACUACUUGUGAGGGUCAAUAAUAAUGUGUUUUUUCCCCAAAUUAGUGGGGUGAACAUAUGUUGGAGGCGAAACUUUGAGAGUCGAAUGCUAAAUUGCUAAUCUGGGAUUUGAGUUCAAGUUUACUUUUAUUGUUUGACAUUUUUUUAUUUUUUCUUUUCCACCUUUUGGAUUUGAACUUAUUCAAAACAAACUAGCUGCACUUUUAUGAAAAAACCAAAGCCCCUUAUCGGAUUUGAAUUGAUGACUUAUAGUUAUUAAACUCAACCCGGUUGAGGUACUGGGUCUUGGAUUACAUCCGUAGGUCAAUGCUUGAAAAUUAUAUAAUUUUUUUUAAGACAAAAUUAAGGUUUUAAAAUUAUUUAUUAUUUAUUAUUAAUUAUUAUAUAUUUUAAAAUUAUUUUGUUACAUAUUCAAUUCAUCUUAAUUAAAAUUAAUCUUUCCAUACAUAACAAGUCUAUAAAAUAAAUUAAAGUGUUGGAUUAAAAUUAUUUUCAAAAUAUUUUUGAAAAAUUAUAAAUCAUUAAUGAGAUACACAUAUAUGUUAUUGCACAAAAAUAACCAUAAACUAAUAUGUUCCAAUGGCUAGGUGGUCUUCAUCUAACCUCAAGGUCCAAGGUUCAAAUCUUGGUUUCAAAAAUCUUGAUGAUAAUUUUGAAAAUUGGUCAACCAGGCAGGCAGUUUGAAAUAAAAACCGCCGGUUAACUUGGUCAAACCCAAUUUUGACCGAGUCACUUGCAUUUCAAUCAAAUUAUUAUACUCGGCUUGGGUUGCCGGGUUUUCGGCCCAACCGGCCGGGUUUUAUAGCUAUGAAACUAGCCAUUAAUGAAAUAAAUAAAACCAGUGCCCUAACUCAAUUUAUUGCAUUUAAAAGAAAAUCACAGCCAAAGACUAUUAUUAUCUGAAUCGGUAGGAUCUUAUAAGAUUGUGAUUCGGAUAGUUUUGUUCAUUCCAGAUUGUAGGACCAUAUGAUCUUACGACACGGAUCGCAAUUCUAAUAACCUUGGCUACACAUGCUCAUGCAUUACCAAUAUGCUCAGCAUGAGCGCACCAAUUUUAAUGAAGCUCAUGCUUGCAUGUAUCCCAUGAUGCAUCCCUCAAUAUUUUUAUGCAAUAAGUUGAAAAUUGCACAUUGGCCAGAAAAGCUUAGGUUCAACUACAAUUAUUCCAGCAAAAUGACAUGGUAACAAUGAUUGAAUUCUUGGUGAGCCAUCUGAAGAAACAGGCAGACUCUUGGUGAGCCAUCAGAUUGUAGGACCAUAUGAUCUUACGACACGGAUCGCAAUUCUAAUAACCUUGGCUACACAUGCUCAUGCAUUACCAAUAUGCUCAGCAUGUGAGCACCAAUUUUAAUGAAGCUCAUGCUUGCAUGUAUCCCAUGAUGCAUCCCUCAAUAUUUUUAUGCAAUUAAGUUGAAAAUUGCACAUUGGCCAGAAAAGCUUAGGUUCAACUAUAAUUAUUCCAGCAAAAUGACAUGGUAACAAUGAUUGAAUUCUUGGUGAGCCAUCUGAAGAAACAGGCAGACUCUUGGUGAGCCAUCCGAAGAAACAGGCAGACUAUGCUUUACAGAUUACAUUACUACAAAAAUACAGAGAACCACGAUACUUUGAAAUUUCAACUUCAUGCAAUGAUCAUUCACAGAAGGUAUUUGCCCUUGCAAAUGAAAGCCAAUUUCAUCAAAGCAUGUGCUAGAUAACAAAUAGAACAAAGAAAAAAAAUAGAAAGGUCUUCCUCAGUUUUUGGAUCUAACCGACCGUUUAAAUGCAGCGUUGUGUUUUAUUUUGAAUGGAAUAACAAAAUUUAUGUAUCAUUGCAUCAGUGAUGCAUACAGCUAAAAACUGCAAGAGUAAGAAAAUGUCCUAAUUAUCAAUUAGUCACAAAUAUACAGGAGGCCCAAGUAAAAGCGAAAUACUGAAUGAUACUAAAUUCAUUAAUGCAACCACCCUCAUUUAAAUCCAGAAUACUUAUGAUCUAAAAUCGCGAAACAAUACAUGCAUUUCCAAUUGUGAAACGUACACACCUUGAGUGCAGAAAAAACAAGUGGAGGAACUGUAAAAGGCAAGCGUUUUGAACCUCCAGCCAUUAUAUAUUUCCACACGGUAUUCAUUAUCUGAUUGCAUAGAAAGAGGAGUAAAAAAAUAAAAAAUAAGAAGGAUAAAACAAGAGUGGAAAAACAACUCGGAAAGACAGUAAUUAAGGUGACUACAUUAUAUGAAGUAACUCCAUCAAUUAUAUACGAAUGCUACAAGAGGCAUAAACACUCGGAACUAUUUACAGUGCACCAAUAAUUUAAUUAACAAAGUACCACCAUGGUCUUCAAUCACCCUUUGACAACGGCACAGGUUAAGUUCAUUAGGUCAAACAAUAUUUCCCAUAAUGUACUGACAGUUAGAGUCUCAAAUGUAAAUUCUUAUGGAGCAGACAGUUGCUCAAGGCACAGUUUUCCUUCAGUUUUUACGAUUAACAAUUAUUCUAAUUUGGUUCUGGUAAAUUAAAUAUUCCAUCAGAUAUGUGAUUCACAACAUUCAUCAAUAUCAACAUUAAGGAGGAAAAAAUGAAAGUAAACUCGUGAUAGAGUUCAUCUCCUAAAAUUCAAACUAACACCAUAAAUCCAAGUCUCUGGUAAUGAUUAGGGUCAGAAAAUGUGCAUCCACUUUUCUGUUGGAAUGUAAGCUUGCAUAUUUCCAUUACCUGAAUAUUAGCAUCCAUGCAUGCAUAUUUUGAUGUCCUCAAAAUGAAAGUUAACAAAAAUUUACUUCCUGCUAUUUUUGCUUGCUAUAAUAGAUGAUAAUAGACUAGACUAGAUAGCAAGUAAUUUAUGCAUAAUAUUUCCUAUUGUUUUCCCAAUUGGAAAAUUUUGCUGUCAACUUCAAGAUGGAACUGGUAUGUUGUUCGGGAUUGGUUGGUUCCAGAAUGAUAGGAAGGAAGAAUUCACUGUACAUGCACAAAAACGCAACAUAAUAACAUCCAAGACGCGAAUAACAGCAGUACUUUGCCACUCCUUCCAAUUUAUUUUCACCGUAAUCCAGGAAAACAAGAAAGAAAUGCAGAACUAAAUACCCCAUACUUUACAUUUAUUUACUAGCAGUGUUACUAAACCAAUAGCCAAGGUAGCAAUGGGUAAUGAGAACAACAAAAGUAUUACACGUAACAAAAGUACUAGGCAACAGAAAAAUUACGUUUAACAUCUCUUCAGGGUCAUCAUUAUACAGCAUAUGCAUGAGUCGAGCAACAGAAUUUUGUUCCUCCUUGAAAUCCUCUUCAUCUAGCUACCGGACAAGUAAUCAUAUAACAAGAGAAAAGAUUAUUUGUUAGCCGGAUUGACCAACAUAUGAUGGAAAGGCUAAACAAAAAAAAUGAAUAAUUAACGAUUAAAUAAUCAAAAUAUUCAGAUUUUUAUGAAAAGCAAUAAAGCUAUGACUAAUGAAAAAUUUCAACGUACCUCAUCUGUAGAAGUUCCAUCCAUAUCCUUUAUAAGACCUUUGAUCAAUUCAAACAAAACCUCAACCUGCAAAGAGUAAUUAUAUCAUGUUUAUGUUGAGUAAAAAACAAAAUCACAUGUAAAGCCAAAGGAGACUCUACCUUGUCAGAAGUUGACACGCAAGUAUUGUUUUUCAUAAUGCUUUGGAUGAUAACUAUUGCCAUGACUUUAUUUGUUGCAGCAUCAAGGUGAUCCAUCACACGCGGAUAAUUAGAGAGUGUGAGAGCAGUGACAAUAUUAUUGUAUUUCUCUAAUGGAGUACUCAGAAGAGCAACAACUUGUUUCGUUGCUCUGCUAUCUUGAAGCUUUGCUUUUCCAGAUAACUUUUUGACACAUGCUCCCUGUCAAUGAUCAGAAGACAAGCAGUUAACGUGAGGAAUGACUAGAUUAUGACCUCAACAGGAAUGUGUGUUAAAUGACACAACAAUCUCUUUUUCUCCGAGUAGUGCGCUUGUGCAUGAUUAGUUCACAUGUUUGAAUGAACAUUUACAAGUGUGAAUUAACAGAAUGGCACUCUAAAAUUUCAAGUAAACGAUCCUCAAGGAGCUCAAUGGAUGAUUCCCAUACAUUACAUUCAGAUUCCACCAAAAAUUUCUGAGAUAAAAACAUUUGUCAAUAACUCAACAAAUAACAUACCAAAACUUGAUCCACGUAAUCCAGCCGAUCAGGAUGGACAUGGAGAGUGAAAGUCAGAAGAGAGACAUAUAAAGUAAUUGCUCCAACAAUGGGCAUGUCAACCUGUGCUUCGAUGACCUGAAUGCAAAAACGUCUUACUUUGAAAUUCAAAAGCAAAUGGUACUCUAAAUCAUUGUAUCACAUGUUCAAUAUGAUUAGGCGUACAAUUGCACUCAACCAUAAAAAGUAAUACAUGAAAUUUUAGGAUCUUGCCUGUUGGUAGAAGAAAACCAUUCAAAAUUGAAAGAGACAGGAACAUCCUGNNNNNNNNNNNNNNNNNNNNNNNNNNNNNNNNNNNNNNNNNNNNNNNNNNNNNNNNNNNNNNNNNNNNNNNNNNNNNAACUGAAAUUCGAUUUACCGAAACGCAAUAAAUUACCUUUCCAAUGGCAUUGCUCAACUUGGUAAACGCUUCAACUUGCAAGAAGUCAGGUAAGACCUAAAUAAGGGAAAGAAUAACAAUGAAUGAAACAAGGAAUCUAUUAGCAGGAGCGGUACAAAAGUAAAAGGACUCACUUCGGGACUUGAAGCAGCAUAGUUUGACAAUCUCUCCAUAAGUCGGGACAAUACCGUCUUGAUGUCAACUGCAGACUGAGAAACAAAAUGAUGCACCAUCAAAACAGCUACUCACCACAAAAUGCCUUGUAUUUAAGGUCCCAGGAAACUAAAGUAUGAAGCAAGGACAGAAUUAUUGAUGCACUAUGGUUAGUAUACUGCUCCUAAAAAAUAAUAAUAAUAUAAUAGUAAAACUUUAUGUUCACCUACUAACAGUUCUUUGACAUUAAGGACUGUGUAGGCUCUCCACAUAAAGUGCCUUACUACAUAUAAUGUUCACAGCACAACAGGUCAAAAAUACAGAUGGUGCUUCUCAACUUUCUACUUUAGAAAAUUGCUUAGAAUUACAACACAGAGAUGCACAGAUGCAUGGGCACCGAAAGCGAAAAAAGUUGCACGAAGGAAUUUUCUUCUCUGCCUUCUCCUCUCCAAAGGCCAAGGCAGAGACUGCAUCCCGAUCCUUCGGUAGCUCUUUUGCAAGAUCCGAAAGUGGAGAACACAUAGCAUUCUCUGAGCACAUAGGGUCAAAGGUAAAACAGCGCUCCCUUGCCAUCCCCCAAAAGAUACUCUCUGACUAUGGUGGCUUAUUAAUUAAUUCAGUCUUAUGAGGGAAAAUUUGUACUGUUAACCAAAGCACUAAUCUCUUCUAAGCCCUUCCCCGUGGGUCCUUCAAAGACCGUAUUCUUAGCAUCUAAUAUAUUGUAUUUUCUACAUCUCUAAAUAAUAUAUCUUUCAUGCCUUUGAAUCUAGGGAAUAUUAAAAGAGUCCGUUUGAAAGAAGAAAGCACUACUUCUUUGAAGUAAUGCAUAACAAAUUUCCGAAUACUGCAGGGGCCUAAACCAAUUUACUCACAGAUUUGAGUUUUUUUAUUUUUAUUUUUAUUUUUUAUUUUAAUCGCAUAUCACUUCUAGAAGAAGUCCAAGAACCCACAUGAAUUUAUUUCAAUAAAGAACUUGAAUUGUAAUAAUCAUCUGAGAAACACUUUAAGAAAAUACACGAGGCUGAAAGCGUAGUUGAUUCCCCAAUUAUGAUCAACACACUUGCAUUGUUGAAUGGCACCAUAUCAUAAAAGAUUAGAAUCUGCAUAACACUACCCUUUAUCAGGCCCAGGCAAAAAAAGGAGAGACUGUAGGAAUCUGAGCGUAAUAUUGUAAUUGAUUGGGCUGAUUUGAUUCUUUGUACCAUAUUUAGUUCUUUCCUUAGUUAGUUACACUAAUUAGAAAUCUUCUCUCAUCUCCUAAUUUAGGAGAUUGUUUUCCUUUCUUCUCACACACGUUUGUACUAUUAAUAUGGUUGUAUAUUCUUUUACAAUACAAGAAAAUAAUUUCUUUCCCUGUGGUAUCAGAGUGGGCUAUUCUAAGCCUAACAACCAAUGACGGAAGAUCCUGUCAACGGUAAAAGCUCCACGACAACUAAAUCAUCCCACAGUGAGACAGAAAUGAACUCUAAAAUGGGUUUUAUGGGAGUGGAAAAAACCUCUUUUCAGCUUUGGAUGAGAGUAAAUUUAGGGAGGGGCUCAGUCGGUUAAGUCGGUAAUUGAAGGGAAAGCUUGGUUACCUGACUGAAGGCAAAAAAGGCCUACAGAUUCCGUCCAAUCGCAGAGGCAGAAAUCAGAGAAUUCGAUGGUCACAACUUGGUGAAUGAAUUCUAUGCAACCAUCCAUAGGGAAAAUAUACAUUUUUCUCCUAAUCGCGAAGGAUGUUUGGGAUGCCGUCAAGGAGGUGUACUCAGAUCCUAAAAACCCAUACCAAAUAUUAGAAAUUAAAACCCGAUUGUGGCAAAUUAAACCAAGAGAGAGAGGUUACAGAGUAUUACUUGGAGAUGACGUCUCUAUGACAAGAACUCAAUCUUAGUUGCGAAGAAGAGUGAGAAUGCCUCGGAGACAACGUUAAGUAUAAGAAACAACUCGAGAAUGAACGAGUUUACGAGUUUCUUGUUGGCCUCAAUCAGACUUGGAAAAUGUUAGAGGCAGAAUAUUAGGUCGGCGGCCGCUACCUUCAACUAGGAAAGUGUUUGCUAAAAUGAGAGGAGAGGAAAAUCGCCAAAAAGUGAUGGUGUUGGAAGGGGCGAUCAAAGAAAUUGAUAUCGCAUUUCUGUCGAAGGGAACUGGAAUCGAGACAGGGGCUUAAUCAUCUCCUGGAAGUGGGCCAUCACAUUUUAGCCCAAAUAGAAAUGGUAUUGGGCUGUUAAAUGGAGGAACCAAAUCCAACAUCUUCAAAGUUUGGGAAUAGCUCAAGCCUAAGAUAACAAAAAAGACGUCUCUAGUGCGAACACUGCCGGAAACCAAGACACAAAGAGACACGUGUUGGGAUAUACGUAGAAAGCCUAUUGAUUGAAAACCAAGACAGAACAUUAAAAAUCGUAGCUAUCAAGCCUUGGUCGACCAAACUGAAAAAACCAAGAAAGUGAAAAAUGGAGCAUUCGACUCUGAGCAAUUAGAGCAACUCUAUCAAAUCUUUUCAAGUCUUCAAACAUCGAGUCAAUUGCUCACACACAGCCUUUUAAGCUCAUUAGCCCACAAAGAUAGUUUCCUAAAAACCUCAAAUAUUUCCUCAAGAUAUAAAAUUCAAUGGAUCAUUGACUCAAGUGCUUCCGAUCACAUGACGGAUGCUUACCAUAUGUUCAAUUCGUACUCACCCUGUGCUAGAAAUAUCAAAGUUAAGAUCGCUGACGGAUCACUCUCAUCUGUUGCGGAAAAGGGGUAUUCCUAUUUCCGAGUCUGUAACUCUAAAAUCUAUUCUUUCAUGUCCCAAAUAUAUCAUGCAAUUUAUUAUCUAUCAGUCAAUUAACAAAAGAGUCAAAUUGUUGUGUUAAUUUUACUCAAUCUCACCGUAUAUUUCAGGAUCUAUCAUCUAAGAAGAUGAUUGGAGGUGCCAAUGCGAAGGACUUCAUUACUUCGAAGAAGCUAAUGUAGGUAAACGUCAAACUAAAAUUUGUAAUUAUAGGUUUGUCUCUAGGGAUAAUUGUAUUCUAUAAUGGCAUUUAUAGAAUGGGCCAUCCAAACUUGUAAUAUUUUACGACAUAUAUUUCCUUCUAUUUUCUUGAAUAAAACAUCCUUUGACUUUCAAUGUGAAAUAUGUGAGCUUGCGAAACACCACCGCACUACUUUCCCAAAAUCCACAUACAAAUCAUCAAAGCAAUUCACCAUAAAUUCAUAGUAAUCAUCGAAAAAACUCUUGGAAGAAUUACAACUCAUAGGAAACCUUCCAAUCAAGCUCUAUUGUGAUUACAGCCAUAAACAUUUAUCUUAAUCAUGUUCAACAUGAUCGGACCAAACAUAUAGAAGUGAACAGGCGCUUCAUCAAAAAAAAAAAAAAAAGUAGUUGAACUCGAAGUUAUUUGCAUGACCUAUGUUCCUACUAAAGAGCAAACUGGCCAAAGGAUUACCCCAGCAAAGUUUCAAUGAUUUCAUUUGCAAGUUAAAGAUGGUCAACAUUUACCAUCCAACUUAAUGGGUAGUGUAGGAAUCCAAGUGUAGUACUGUAAUCGAUUGGGCUGAUUUAAUUAUUUGUUAGUUCUUUCCUUUGUUAGUUACACUAAUUAGGAAUCUUUUCUCAUCUCCUAAUUUAGGAGAUUGUUUUCCUUUAUCCUCUCUCGAGCUCGUAUUAUUAAUAGGGCUAUAUAUUAUUUUAUUCAAUACAAAAAAAUAAUUUCUUUCCACAGAAACAUUGUGUUAGAGGAAAAGAGAUCUCAUUAUAUAAUAGGCUACUCACUUGAAGUUGAGGGAAAGCUCCCAAUAAUGUCUCAAGGGUCUGCAAAUGAUACUCAUCUGGAAAGACCUGAAUUAUGCAGUCCAUCAAAUAAUAUUGGGCAAGUUCAUCCUUACAAUUAACAACCUGCCAGAAACCAUUCGAUUGCACAUUGUAAGAUCUUCAUAUCUUAAAGAUCAAGAUACACUGAAUCAGAUGGACAAACCUGCUCCAACACCUUGGGAAGAACAGUGUCUCUAUAGAUGUCAAGGUCAACACCUUCUAUUUGACUGAGAACAUGUAAAUUCUUCCCAACCUAAAACAUCAGAGGGACAUUAAAAUACCAUCUUUAUAAAACUUAAAAGGGAGUUAUAGAAUGACUAGAGAAAACUAACUGCUUUGAAGCAUUCGUAUUACAAGAUCACGCAGCUCAUUCCUUUCCUUAUCAAGUUUCUCUUUCUCUCUUAGAGACCCCUGCAGACCAGAAAGCCGGAAAGUCUCAACUCAGCAUCAUCAAAUCAUGAAUCUAUAUUAAUAUCCAUGUAAAUUCUUCCCAACCUAAAACAUCAGAGGGACAUUAAAAUACCAUCUUCUUUCUCUCUUAGAGACCCCUGCAGACCAGAAAGCCGGAAAGUCUCAACUCAGCAUCAUCAAAUCAUGAAUCUAUAUUAAUAUUACACCUGCAUGGCCAAAACAUGCCCUCAAGAUUUAUUUCACUUUUUUGGCAUGUAAGUUUUCAGAUGCCAUGCAUGUGAAAAAAAAGGUAGGACUAAAAUUUCAGAGAGAGAUCCAUAAAACCUGGUGCUGCAUUCGGACCCAAAGUUUAUUCAUCUCUGCAAAAUUUUGCAGCACAAAUUCUACAGCAUCCAUGAAAGUAUCACCUUCACUAGAAGGAGACCAAUGAAGUAACACAUCAGAAAAAUGUAACAAUUUACAACUUAACUGCAAUCAAUAUCAUGCAAUGAUUAAAACAUUUAACAAGUUAACGUGGCAAAAGAUAUAGAAUUAACAAUCAACAAUCAAGAACGGAUGGAAAUAUCUAAUAAUUACUUGUUGGAGAGGUUUUUUUUAUAUCAUUUUUUCCCUAAAUCAUUUUCAACCACACAUUCUAUAUGAAACCAUAACUUUUCCCUACUUUUAACCACAGAUUUUCCAGAAAUAUAAUUUUUAAUUGAAAAAAUAUCUCCCAAACGUCACAUAUGGAAAUUUCCAUUUAUUUUAAUUUCCUGGCAUACAAAGUUAGCAUGUGAAUGAAAAUUUGUAAACUUGUUGAUGACAAACACAAUCAAACAAGAACAAGGCUGACAAAGAAAGAGGAAGAGAGAGGAGAAAGAGAAGCUGGGGGAGGGAAAGAGAGAGGGAGACAAAUAAUAAAUAUUGAAUUCAUAAUCAAGUCUGCCAACAAAUGAAAUCGCAAGUCACAUUCACUGGGGAAAAAAUUAAACUCAAAUGAACUUCUAAUAAACUAAUCUAAUCAAAAUAAAUAUAAUUUAAAUCAAAUUCUACUUUAAAAUCCUAUCUAAAUACUAAUUUAUUCUUAUCUUCAUUCCCAUCAUUUCUCUCCAAGAACUCGACUCUAAUGAGAUAGUCUGCAACUUCACUCUCCAAGGAUGCCGAUCUUUUGUCCCCAUCAUUUUGCAUUAACACCAUUUUUUUGCAGAUUUCUUUGUGUUGAUUGUUGCUGCCUCUUUUUUUUUUCUUGUGUUUGAAAAUAGGUCUAUUGUGAGGAAUUUUUAUGUUGCAAAAAGGGAUGGAAACUGUUGGUUGGGGGGUGGGGGGAGGGGUGGAGAUCGGAUUUUUUUUUUUUUUUUAAAACUUGUUUGGCCAAAGAAAAUGGCUUGGCCUCUGCUACCAAAUUGAUAGCGAACACAAUCGAACAAGAACAAGAUUCAGAAAGAGAGAUGGAGAUGGAGAACGUAUAUUCAAUUAAUAAUCAAGUUUGCUUACAAAUGUAAUCCUGAGUCACAUUUAUAGGUGCAAUAAGUUAAGCUCAAAUUAACUUCUAAUAAACUAAAACCUUAAUAGGAUAUUAAACUAAUUUAAUUAAAAAAAACAUAAUUUAAAUCUAAUUCGACUUUAAAAUCCAAUCUGAUUCCUAUAUUUAUUCUUAUCUUCAUUUCCCAUUAAUUUAUCUGGGAAGUGAGGUUACAUUACAUUCAAAAAUAUAUAAGAGGCAAACGCUUUAGAUGCACAUGCAAAAUGUGAAUGUAUAUGCAAGUCAGUGCAUGCUCAAUUAAAAGAAUGUCCAUGACAAAUGGCCUACAUAAAGCACAGAGUCCAAAGGAAAAGAAUAAAGUGAAACCUCAUUGUUUUCAUGAAAAAAUAGUGCUAGAAGAAGAGACAGAUGAAUGCUGAGAGAAAGUGAAAUAAUUUUUAAAACAUGAAUAAUAAUAAUAGGAUUAAAUGCACCAAAGGCAUGAAAGAUAAAAUCAGCAAGAUAAGAUCAUGUAAAUGAAAGUGCCAAAAGAAGAGCGAAGGGAAAGUGAUAAUACGAAGAUAUGCAACGCAAUGAAUCUAUAUUAUUUUUCUGUUCAUAUAUUAAGCCUAUGUUUGGGCCCCAUUUUAUCAAAAAGCUCAUUUUUUCAAAACUUGUUUUCAACCACACGUUCUCCCAUAAAAUAAUAUUACACGUAAAUCGCACACUUUUCCUUAUUUUUUAACCACAUAUUCUCCAAAAAAAAAUAACUAUUCCAAAAUACAUUUUUCCCAAAAUUACAUUUUAAUGGAGCCCAAACAAGAGCUAAAUAAAAAGAAACAUCUUGUUGUCACUCACAUGUGCAUGAUGAAAAUAGUCAAAUUUUCUGUCACACAAUUUUAAGGCCCCAAACAAAGGCUAAAUAAAAAGAAAUAUCUUGUUGUCACUCACAUGUGCGUGAUGAAAAUAGUCAAAUUUUCUGUCACACAAUUUUAAGGCCCGUUUGGUGCCCAUUUUUUUUCAAAAUACAUUUUUCUCUCUAUUAUUUUCAACCACUGAUUUUUUAUUAAAAUAAUAUUACACGUAAAUCUAAAAAAUUUCCUUGUUUUUCAACCACACGUUUUCCAUCAAUUUACUAUUCUAAAAUGCAUUUUUACAUAAAAAUGGGUCUCAAACACCUUCUUAAAAGUCAAAGAACGGAAUAACAUGCAAGGACAAACAACUGCCUUACCCUUCGUAAUCUGAAGCAAUAUCAGGUAAUUUGUCUCUACUAAUUUGAGCAAGAUAACUCCUCAAAAAGAGCCCACGUAUGGGAUGCUGAACACCGCGACACAUUUCAACAAGAUCUUUAAGAACAUCCUUAGCAGGAGUCUCUUUCGAUUUUAUAUAAAUAGAACCAACUGUACACAGGAGAUACCUAAUAUAAUGACAAAACAAAAUAUUAUGUAUCUUAGAAGCCUCUAUAUUUUGGAAAUAACAUAUUCAAUUGUACAAUAACUAAAAAAUAGAUUCAAUUAUAUAGCCUAAAAUUACACACACAAAAUAGUAAGUGGAAGAAAAUCAAACAAAUUAAACACUAAAAAUUCAAAACAAAUUGCAUAAGGUGGGUCAUUAAAUUUUCAGGGCAUUUGUACUAUACUAGUAACAAGGAUCAGCAACUCUAAAAUCCAAUGGGCUCAAGAAAAAAAAUACCUAGAGAAUUUGGAUAAAAAUCCAAUUGAGGCUUGCCUCAAAGUGAGGAGAUCAACAAAGACCUCAAGGUGCUAAUCGUGAAACAGUGUUUGGAGACGCACGCCUCAGUUGAGUGAGGCACAUGCCUCAAGGCUUCUGAAGCGUACACUCCUCAAUUCUCUAGAGUUGUUUUGCUUUGGUGUGGCCCACCAAACAUUAAAAAUUAUAAUUGACUCACUUUGGGAAUAGCCCCUCUUAUCAACAUAUCUUGGUUCGGGUGCUCUUUCUUCCUGAGUGGAUUAGCUAUUUAUUAAAAUAUUUAAAAAAAUAUAUGUUUUCUGAAUAUCCCACAUUCGGAAUCAAAUAUUAUUAGAACAUUAGAAAAUUGUGUUUAUCGUGGACCCACUUUGGGAAUAGUCUGCUGCCUCACUAACUAAAGUAAUUGUUCCUUCUGCUUCAUAGUUUUUAAUUUUAUUUGUUUGCAUAUUUUAAAUUAUUCUAUUAUAAAUUUUUAAGAUUGUUAAUAAUUUGUUAUAGGCACAUUUUACAUAAUAAUUUUUUGACAUUUUUGUAUUAUGGAGAGGAUUAGGCCUCAAAACGCCUCAUUUCACAAAGGAAAAAUGCCUCAGCACUCAAUUACGCCCUUUUAAACAUUGAUCUGGAGUUUGAAAUUAAGAUUAGGCAAUUAACAAAGUCUGCUUAACCGUGUAAGCAGCUGUCGUAUGUAUGAUACAUCUCACGAAUAUAAAGAUUUUAAUAAAUGCAGUCAGUAUGGCAAACGCCUUCAUGGAUAUAACUAAGAUCUAUGAUUGCAUAGAGAGUGUGGUCACCACAAAACAGCGCUCCAGCAUAAUCAGAGAAAUGAAUCUUGUAAUAUAAGAUGACAUUAAAUUAUUAACUAUGCAAAGAAAAGGCGAAGCAAGCAACAAUAAAAACUGUAGCAACUUAAAUUUACUACCCAAAUUCAUGAGACUUACAGUCGAGGCAAAAUGUUUCCAGCAUGUUGAACAAGUUCAUAUAGAUCAACCACUGGACAACCGUGCCUGUUUUCAUCCUUGAAGAACAUUUCCAGCCUCCUCAAUUCAUCAAAAGCGCGCAUAUCUAAUCCAUAAAUGAUAAAAGCAAACAGUACAAAAAAUAAACACAGUUACUCUAAAUAAUAAGAUAUGACCACCGGGAGAUUUUGGAUCCAGGAAUCUUACAGAGCUCAUAAUAUUUGUGAGGCGAGAGCCUCGAAGUUCGAAGCUCAGACAACAACUGCGCUGAGUAUUUGAGGGCUUCUCUCAGAUUAUUCGAAUCCUGAAUUUUAUCAAAAACAUACAAAUUAAACUUACAAUUAAUUUGAGAAUCUAGGGCUCUGAGAAUUAAAAUUUAAAAUUACCAAAGCGCGAUGCAAAUAAAAUGCACUGUGUUGAAUUCCAGCGAUGCCUUCGGCGAGCCAUUUGUCCUCAUCUUCAAUUCCGUUUGCUAUCAACAUUUUUUCUUGUUCUCUCUCUCGAGUGACAUCGACUGAACUGACUUCCUCUUUAACCUGGAAUAAUGAGGAAAUAGGAAUAGAAUUUAAAAAAUAAGAAAUACAUUAUUCCGAUCAUUUCAACCCUCAUAUUCUUCAAUAAAAUAAUAUUAAACAUAUAUUCAAAAAAUUUAUUUAUUUUUUAACCACGUAUUUCUUAUCAAUGGGGCCUAUUUGAAAACGAUUUUUUCCUUCAAAAAAUUGAUUUUUUUGACCGUUAUUUCAUUAUUCCAUUAUUCCAGCCGUCAAAUUUGAUUUCUUCUCUCACGAUGGACCCCACUUUUCUCCUAACGAUCAAAAAAUCAGUUCUCAAAAUCACUGUCAAAUAGGCUCAUGCAUUAUUUUAAAAUGUAAUCUUAUAGAAAUAAUGUGGCUCAAAUAAGGGCGUAAUGUCUUGUUUCUUGUUUCGAAUCCAGGGUCAAACUGUUUUUUCUUUUUAAUUUCUGUUUUUUACCAAAAAAAAAAAUGAUCAUUUCAACCCUCAUAUUCUUCAAUAAAAUAAUAUUAAACAUAUAUUCAAAAAAUUUAUUUAUUUUUUAACCACGUAUUUCUUAUCAAUGGGGCCUAUUUGGAAACGAUUUUUUCCUUCAAAAAAUUGAUUUUUUUGACCGUUAUUUCAUUAUUCCAUUAUUCCAGCCGUCAAAUUUGAUUUCUUCUCUCACGGUGGGCCCCACUUUUCUCCUAACGAUCAAAAAAUCAGUUCUCAAAAUCACUGUCAAAUAGGCUCAUGCAUUAUUUUAAAAUGUAAUCUUAUAGAAAUAAUGUGGCUCAAAUAGGGGCGUAAUGUCUUGUUUCUUGUUUCGAAUCCAGGGUCAAACUGUUUUUUCUUUUUAAUUUCUGUUUUUUACCAAAAAAAAAACACGAAAAAGUUAGCUUUCUUUAUAAACUUUUAAACACUUUUUAUAAAAUUAUUUAAACAUAUUAAAGAAGAUUUUAGUCUCAAAACUUUUUUGAUUUUCUAAAUAUCAUAUCAAAUCAACCAUACAUGCACCUUUCGACACAUAUGGUUCAAAAAAUAAUUACGAAAAACAAAAAAAUCAAUGUAUAAAUUCAAUUAGAAAUGCUAGUCGCUUGUUCCGCUGCUCAGCUACCUUCACAAAUAGGUAAAGUGACUUUUUAUCCAUUUAGGAAUUAGAACACUAGGGCCUAGUAAUAAUGAGAAUGAAUUUUUUGACCAUUAAAGGAAAAGUGGGUUCCACCUGUAAGAGAAGAAGUAAAAAAUAACGACUUAAAUAAUGAAAUAACGUUCAAAAAUUAAUUUUUUGAUAAAAAAUUACUACCAAACAAUGACAAAAUGAUAACACGUGGAAUUCAAAUAUAUAAUAAGGAAACUUAGUGACUGUUGCUGUCCUAUUUACAUGUUAAAUAUAAAGAAUUAGUUACGGUGCGCUUGAUUGUCGAUAUUUUAUAUGAAAAAUAUUUUUAUAUCAAAAUUCCUACUUUUCUUCUGUCUGAUUAAUUUUUUUCAUGAAAAAUAUUUUCUUACUUUUUAUUUUCUUACUUUUGGUAACGCGACCAUAUUCUCCUACAAAGAAAAUAUUUUUUUAAGGAGAGUGAUUUUAUUUUUCAAUCAAUUUACUUUCUUUAUCAUCUACACCUCUCUCUCA
RNAcentral lists this long non-coding RNA (84516 nucleotides) under Olea europaea (common olive). RNAcentral describes it as "long non-coding RNA (OEUR_LNC014786)". Lineage: Eukaryota; Viridiplantae; Streptophyta; Magnoliopsida; Lamiales; Oleaceae. The record is from RNAcentral.